This 72906-nucleotide long non-coding RNA is filed under the name Citrus maxima (pomelo). Its description in RNAcentral is "long non-coding RNA (CMAX_LNC001511)". The record is from RNAcentral. Lineage: Eukaryota; Viridiplantae; Streptophyta; Magnoliopsida; Sapindales; Rutaceae.
ACAAGAUGGAACAAAAUAAAAAGGAAAAAAAAUACAAAGAGUGGAAGGAGAAUAAAACAGAGACAGCGGCACAGCUGGACACAACUAGAUAGAGAACAGAGCAAAACCAAAUAACAAGACUUAAGAUUACAACAAACAGAGGCCAAGUAUUAUUGUUGAGAUCAGAAGAUGGAAAAUUCAAAAGAGUUGAUGGCAGAUGCUGAAUAACAAAACAACAAUGAACGCAAUAAGCAGAAGCAAAGUGUGUUUGAAUGCAAAGAAAGACUGAUGUUGAAAAUUGAUGUCAAUAGCGAAGGAAUAAUUGAACUUUCGCUGAAUUAUUGUUUGUGGCCUUCUUUUACUUUUUAUUUGUGGGUCAUGUCUUUUGGAACUAAUCAUCUUAGGUUAUGCCUUAUAGCUUUAAGGCCGGUAAACCGGUGUCCGUUGGAUUAGCAUAUAGAAAUCCAACGGUGGAUAUAUAUACUUGGAGAAUAAAAUUCAAGAGCUAAGGGAGUGCUGGGCUGCAGUUUCUUAAGGAGAUUUAUAUAUCCUCCUCAAAAAUAAAUGUUUUAAGGUAGAUAUUUAGACUAUUUCAUCAUAAAAUAAAUGUAAUUAGUUUUCAAUAAAUAUCUUAUAUAAAUAUUUAUUUAUUUUUUUAAUUACUAAUGACCUUUGAAUAUACAUAUAUACAUAUCCCUAGUUCAAAAAAUAAAUUGUGAUUAUUUGUUCAUGUAUGCGAUUACUUGUGAUGGGAAAUAAAAUAGAUAUGGUAUAUUUUGAAGUUAAAUUAAAAAAAAAAAAAACAGAGCUUUUACCAUUACUUGCCUUAUCAUCUUUUAAAUUAGAGUUAUUAUUCUUUUAUUUUUCAAGUUGCCAACUCAUCCGCAUUUUUUUUUUAUUGAAUUUGAAGAUCAAUGAUUAUAAAUGUGUGUAAAAAUUUUAAGUCAAAACUUUAAAUAAUCUUUAAGUUAUUGGGAAAUAAUAACUUAGUAUAACAAAUAUUAUAUCCUAUACUUUAUUGCUACAAAAUUACGAAACCUUAUAUUAUAUUAUGUUUCCAUAUUUCUCCUUUAUAGUGAAGACUCAUACUUCUUCUCUAUUAAAUGCUAAAGUAUUGGCUUAAAUUUUUUAACCAGCACAGUAGACCCUUAAGCUAUAUAUACUAUAAUGUCCCUCUUCUCUCAUAGAUUAAACCAAUCUGAUCUCGGAGUGAGUUGAUACCAUGACUUUGCAUAAUUCGUGAUCAAAGGAGUAUCAUUACUAACUAAUAUAGGCUCCAUCAAUAGGCAUGAUAAUAAUUUUUUUUAUAUACAAACACUGUUUUUCAAAAUAUUAUAUCUUAAGACUUAACUAAAUAUUUUGUAACUAUGUAGAUAUAGUUUGUUUGAUCUCUUUUAAAUAGUGGAGAUUACAAACAAACAUAUGCAAAUUAGUAGUGAUGUUGAGUUUAGAAGAUUGAAGUUAAGAAAAUUAAGGGUUUCUUGAUCUAGAGAAAUUUCAAAUGAGUGAAGUGUCCUUGAAAUCGGAAGACGAAAAUAAGGAAAGGGUAAGGGUGUAUUUUCAAAGUGAUUCUAUUACGAGAUUUUGAAGUAGGGGUGGGCAAGUCGGGUUUUGGUUCGGGUUGUUCAAGUUUCGAUUUGGAUUUCAACCCAAUCGGGUUUGAGAAUUGAAUCCAAUCGGGUUGAAAACGCCAACCCAAACUAAACCGAACCGAAUUUAAUUCAGCUUGGGUUCAUAAUUCGGAUUGGUAAUUCAGGUUAAAAUUUCGGUUCGGGUUAAUUUGGGUUAGAAUAAUUCCAUCUAAAAUUUUGGGUUAGUUCGGUUUAAAACAAAUUGAAACAAUUUAAUCCAAAAAUUAUACCAACAACCACUUAAAAUCCAAAAAUCUCAAUUCCAAACAUCCUUAACAACAAAUAUCAACUACAAACUAUCCUUGAUAACAUUUCAACAAUAACAAUAACAAUAAUAACAACAACAACAACAAUAAUAAUAAUAAUAACAACAACUAUGAAUCAGCAAUUCAGCAUAUUGCCAUAUUCUAAAUUUAAAAAAACACACAAAUUAUGUAAUUAAUUAAUUAACAAUCUCCAAUUUAAUUUAUAAUAACAACAAAAAUCCUCUCCAAUUUAAUUAAUAACAAUCUCGAAUUGUUCAAUUACCAGUCAACAACAACAAACCCACUCCAAAUAAUUGAACAAUUGUUAAUUAAUUAAUUAAAAAUAUCUAAUUUAAUUAAUAACAACACCCAAGAGCAAGUCAGCAAUAAACCCACUCAAAAAUCCAAAUAUCAGUAUAAAUUAAGUGUCAAACCUUGAUCGGUGGGAAGCUACAGCGUCGGCAAAUUGUGACCGUGUGGGGCUGAGUGAGACCGUCAACCGAGGGUGUGAGAAGGGAGGAGGGAGCAGGGAGGUAACGAGGUGUGUGUGAGUUUAUAUAUAUAUAUAUAUAUAUAAUUUUUAAAACCUAAAACUUAAAAAAAAAAUUUAACCCAAUCCAAACCGCCCACCUCAUAUUACUUCCGUUAAGAGAUGGAUCCCACACUCUUGAGCCUUUGUCGUCCCAGUCAACUAUAAAAACAAAUCAUUAUUGAGUGUGAAUAGACUUAUUGAUCACCCAAUUUUCAAACUUAUCAUCCUUAUUGUAUCUGCAUUCCCUUUUGAAAAUUUUUUAAAAAAGUACAAAUAAUGAAACAAAGUUUUGUUCCUUCAACAGUUGAUAGAGUUACGCGGCUUGGACUUGCAAGUGCUGUCGGCAUUUUCAAACUUGUAAGACCCUUCAACUUGCUUUCCAAGAUAGCUAUAAUUAAUAAUGACAACAGUCUCCCUCAUAGCGACUAGUGAGCAACUGAAAUUAACGGCAUCUUCUCUCGCAUUUUUAAAAAAAUUGAAUUAUAUAACCCACCAAAACUAUAAAGAAUUGUUAGUUUUUCUUCAUUAAAAUUAAUAUAUUGCUCCUCAUAUUGAAAAAUCAAAAUUCAGAAUAAGAAUGAUUGAUACUGUUUAUUUACUAAAAUGAAAAUAAAAUAUAUGAAGCCUACAUAUUUUUGAAAUUAAAAAACAAGAACUUGAUUUUCCUUGGGGAGUGUUGGAAAUCAAGUUCUUGUUAUUUAAACUCUCAAUUGUAUCUCACCGAAAUUUCAUAAUUCUACUUUUGUCUUCAAUUAAAAUAUUAUUAUAGUUAUUAUUCUUAUUUUUGUAGUUGUUGUUGUUGAUUAUGAUAAAUGGUCAGGCAAAUGAUUCAUUUACUUAUUUUUUUCCUUUUAAAUUUUUGUUAUUAAGAAGAUUUUUGGAUAUUUAGCGUGAAGGUCUCAACUGAUCGCUAAUUUCACAGCAACUUCCUUUUUUUUUUUUUCCCUCAAUUGUUUUGAAAAAAUAUCAAGACUCAUUCAGCAAAAUAUCCGAGGCCAAAGCGCCAAAAGAUGGGACAGCCACAUGCACUUCUAAUUACAAAAUCUAAAGUUAGGGUGUCCAUAACUUACAUUUAAUAUAAUUUAUAAUUAGGUAAAAUUCAUUCAUUGACCCAGUAAUUUUAUUAUCCUAUUACUUAUAUUUUUAUAUUAAAAAAUUAGUAAGUAGGAAAAUUCUUAAAAGAUAAUGAAGAAGGAAAAGAAAAAGAAAAAGUGUAAAUGAACUGUAUUCACAUAAGUUUCAAACAUGUGAUUCAAUCUGAAUUGGCUUUUUUCAAAAGUAAAUACAAAGGAAAAUAAAAAGAAAAAAGCAAUUAAACGAGACUAAAAUCUGUGGCCUGUGUCAUUCAUAUCUUUUGACAUUUCUUUUAUAGCGGUAUAAAGGGUAGAUAUUUUGAAGUGAAAAGCAAAGCCUUUACCAUUACUUGCCUUAUCAUCUUUUAAAUUAGAGUUAUUAUCCUUUUAUUUUUAAGUAGCCAAAUUAGAGUUAUCAUCCUUUUAUUUUUAAGUAGCCAACUCAUCCGCAUUAUCUAUUAUUGAAUCUAAAGAUAAAUGAUUAUAAAUUUCUCUGAAGAUUUUAAGUCCAAACUAUAAAUUAAAAUAAUCUUAUUGAUUAAGUUAUUGUAUAAUAAUAACCUUAGCAUGACAAAUAUUAAUUCUUCUCUAGUAAAUGCUAAAGUAUUGGCUUAAGUUUUUUAACCAGCACAGUAAAUCCUUAAAGCUAUAUAUGCUAUAAUGUCCCUCUUCCCUUACAAAUUAAACCAAUUUGAAUUUAGAGUGAGUGAGUACCAUGAGUUUGCAUCAUUUGAUAUCAAAGGAGCAUCAUUACUAACUAAUACAGGCUCGAUCGAAUUCAUCAUACGAAGCAUAUUAUCGGCUGUAGGUAUGGAAAUAAAUUUUGUAUCCACAAACACUAUUUUUCAAAAUAUUUAAGACUUAACUUAUCAUUUUUUAACCAUAUAUGCAUAGGUUGUUUGACCUAUUUUAAAUAAUGGAGAUUACAACAAAUGAACAGAUGUGGAUUAGUAGUGUUGUUGAGUUCAGAAGAUUGAAGUUAAGAAAAAGGUUUCUUGAUCCAGAGAAAAUUCAAAAGAGCGAAGUGUCUUCGAGAUCAGAAAACGAAAUAAGGAAAGGGUAAGGUUAUACUUUCAAAAUGAAUUUGUUGAGAGAUCUUUGAAGAUUAUUUUCAUUAACAAUUAGAUCCCACACUUGAGUCUUUGUCGUCUCAGUCAGUCAGUUAUAAAGACAAAUUAAUUUUGAGUAUGAAAGGACUUUCAAACUUGUGACCCUUCAAGCUUUCUAUGACAGCUAUAAUGAAUAAUUACAACAGUGCUACCUAAUAGUGAGCAACUUGUUUGAUGAAAUUAACAACUUCUUUUCUCUCAUGUAUUUUUAAAAAAUUGAAUUAUCAAAGCUUUUAUUUCAAAAUUAGUGCUAUAGUUCAUUAAUUUUGAAAAAUUUUCUUUUUUCUUUCCACACAACAGAUUGAUUUGCCCUCCAAAAACUGUAUUAGAUUGUUUAAUAUUGUAACUUCAAAAAACUUAUAAUAAAUUUUUAAAGAGAUAAAUAGGGAAUGUCAGUCUCCCAUCUACUCAAAAUUAAUAUAUAUCAUUAACUCUUGAUUAUUUUUAUAACAACUAAUAACUUUCUGGGCAGCAUAAUUUUACAGUAUCAUCCUUGUUUGUAAGUAUAUUUUUAUUCACAUUUAUUAUAAAUUAAUUAAGUCAUAUCAAUGAAAAUUGAAAUAGAAAUUGAAGUACUAAAAAAAAUGUUUUGGUGUGAAUAAAAAAUUGAAAAUAAAAAUAUUUUUAUUAUAUUUUUUAUUUUUAAAUGGUUUUCUUAUAAUAAAUAUAUAUUUUAUAUUCUCAAAUUGAAUUAUUGAGUAAAUGACUCAUUUACUCACUUUUUCUUUUAAUUUUGUUAUUAGGAGGAUUUUUAGAUAUAAUGAAAAUUGUAAGGUAGUAAGUAAUAUAAAAUAAUUUUAAUAGAGAAAAAUAAAAAAUCUGUAAUUUUAAAAUAUAAGGAGAAAAAUAAUUAAUUUCAAGAUAUUUUAGAAGAUAUUUCAAUAUGCGGUGGACUAUAAACUCGAGUCUUUGUCGUCACAGUCAACUAAAAGGACAAAAUAUUGAGUGCGAAGGGCUCAACUGAUUGCUAAUUUCACAGUAAUUGCGUUUUUUCUUUCUUUUUUUUAAUUAUUGGGAAAUAAUAACUUAGUAUAACAAAUAUUAGAUCCUAUACUUUAAUGCUGCAAAAUUAUGAAACCUUAUAUUAUAUUAUGUUUCCAUAUUUCUCCUUUAUAGUGAAGACUCACACACUUCUUCUGUAGUAAAUGCUAAAGUAUUGGCCUAAACUUUUUAACCAGCACAAUAAACCCUUAAGUUAUAUAUGCUAUAAUGUACCUCUUCCCUCACAGAUUAAACCAAUCUGAUCUCAGAGUGAGUUUGCAUCGAAGGAGUAUCCUUACUAACUAAUAUAGGCUCGAUCAAUAGGGAUGACAAUAAUUUUUUUAUCUACGAACAUUAUUUUUUCAAAAUAUUAUAUCUUUAGACUUAACUAAAUAUUUUUUUAAUCAUGUAUGUAUAGUUUGUUUGAUCUCUUUUAAAUAGUGGAGAUCACAACAAAGCAAAUGCUAAUUAGUAGUGAUGUUGAGUUCAGAAGAUUGAAGUAAUGAAAAUUAAGGGUUUCUUGAUCCAGAGAAAUUUCAAAAGAGUGAAGCGAAAAGUGAAUUUAUUGAGAGAUCUUUAAAGAUUUACUUCCAUUAAGGGUUGGAUGCCACACUUUUUGAGCCUUUGUCGUCCCAAUCAUUCAAUUAUAGGAUCCCUAAGCAUAUAACUUACAAUCCUUUCACAUAAAUAAUGAGUAGUGUGAAUCCAUACAACUUACAACCUUCUCACAUAAAUAAUGAGUAGUGUGAAUCCAUACAACUUACAACCUUCUCACAUAAAUAGUGAGUAAAUCUAAACUACUCACUAUUCAUGUAAAAAAAUUAUAAAUUACAUACAUGUAACUUAGCAUUAUUCUCCACUAUAAAGACAUAUUCUUAUUGAGGGUGAAUAGGCAUAUUGAUCACUAAAUUUUCAAACUUGUGAUCCUCAUUAAAUGUGAUUCCCCUUUGAAAAAGAAAAAAAAGUGCAAAUAAUGAAACAAAAUUAUGUUCCUUAGCAGCAAGUGGCGUCGGCAUUUUCAGACUUGUAAAAGGGAAUGAGAUCCUUUCCUGAACCCGGAUCUCAUUCCCUGUGAAACAAAAAAAGGUGCAAAUAAUGAAACAAAAUUCUGUUCCUUAGCAGCAAGUGGCGUCGGCAUUUUCAGACUUGUAAAAGGGAAUGAGAUCCUUUCCUGAACCCGGAUCUCAUUCCCUGUGAAACAAAAAAAGGUGCAAAUAAUGGAACAAAAUUUUGUUCCUUAACAGCAAGUGGUGUCGGCAUUUUCAGACUUGUAACAAGGGAAUGAGAUCCUCUCCUGAACCGGGAUCUCAUUCCCUGUGACAAGACCCUUGCCACCCUUCAACUCGCUUUCCAAGAUAGCUAUAUUAAUCGUGACAACAUUACUCUCAGUGAGCAAAAGUUAACAUCAUCUUCUCCCUAUUUUUUUAAAAAAUUGUAUUAUAUAGCCCACCAAAACUAUAAAGAGUCUUUUCUUAUUAAAAUUAAUAAAUUACUCUUUAUAUUAAAAAAUUAAAAUUCAAAAUGAAAAUGAUCUGAUGUUUAUUUAUUAAAAUAUAAAUAAAAUAUAUGAAGUUCAUAUUUUUUUAAAUUAAAAAAUAAGAACCUAAUUUCAUUCCUUAAAUUCCCAAAUUUACCUCACAAAAAUUCCAUAAACUUACUUUUGUCCUUAAUUAAAAUAUUAUUAUGUUAUUAUUAUGGUUAUUAUUCUUAUUUUUGUAAUAGUUGUUGUUGUUGAUGAUGAUAAUACAUAUAAUAAAAUUAAUAAUAAUAAAAAUAAUAACUAUAAUUUUAACAACAGCAAUAAUAAUCAUUAAUAUUAUUGUUGUUGUUGUUGUUGUUGUUGUUGUUCUUCUUCUUCUUCUUCUUCUUCUUCUUCUUCUUCUUCUUCUUCUUCUUCUUCUUCUUCUUAUUAUUAUUAUUAUUAUUAUUAUUAUUAUUACUAUCCUAUUAUAAUAAUAUUAUUAAAUAAUUAUUUUGAAUAAUAAUAAUCACAAUUAUUAUAACAAACGACAAAAAUCAACUAAGGUAAUUUUAAUAACUUGUAAGAAUUCAUUUUUAUUCAUGGAUAUGUGAUUAUUUGUUAAUGUAUGCAAUUACUUGUGAUGGUAAACAAAGUAUAUAUGGUAUAUUUUCAAGUUAAAAAAGAAAAACAAAACAAAGUUUUUACCAUUUCUUGCCUUAUCAUCUUUUAAAUUAGAGUUAUUAUUCUUUUUAUUUUUCAAGUUGCCAACUCAUCCGCAUUCUCUUUUAUUGAAUUUGAAGAUCGAUGAUCAUAAAUUUGUGUGAAAAUUUUAAGUAAAAAUUUUAAAUUAAAAUAAUCUUUUAAGUUAUUGGGAAAUAAUAACUUAGUAUAACAAAUAUUAUAUCCUAUACUUUAUUGCCACAAAACUACAAAACCAUAUAUUAUAUUAUGUUUUCAUAUUUCUCCUUUAUAGUGUGAAGACUCAUACUUCUUCUCUAGUAAAUGCUAAAGUAUUGGCUUAAACUUUUUAACCAGCACAGUAGACCCUUAAGUUAUAUAUGUUAUAAUGUCCCUCUUCGCUCACAGAUUAAACCAAUCAGUAGCCUUCUCUCAUAUAGAAAAACUUUUUGUAUAAGACAAAUUAUUAUGUUAUCGGAAAAAUUACAGUAGACGUAAGCUAUAUAUGUUAUAAUGUUCAGAAGAUUGAAGUUAAGAAAAUUAAGGAAAGGGUAAGGAUGUAUUUUCAAAGUGAAUUAUUAAGAGAUCUUUGAAGAUUACUUCCGUCAAGAGUUGGGUCCCACACUUUUACCUUUUGCUCGUUCCCGUGAAAGUCAGUUUAGAAUUUUUAUCUUAUUUCACAAAGCUAAUUUUUUAUCACAAGCAGGAGAGAAACGGCAUUUCUUAGCAGUAGUUCAUCACUGUAGUAGCGAGCGAGUGAGGAACAAAAUUGCCAACAAUUAUCAAAAAAUAAUUAUAUAAAAAAGAUCACAUGCUAUAAUUAAUCAUGACAAUUGACAACAUUACUCCCACCGAGCAAAAGUUAACAGCAUCUUCUCCCACAUUUUUUAAAAAAAAUUGUAUUAUAUAACCCACCAAAAGUAUAAAGCGUCUUUCCUUAUUAAAAUUAAUAAGUUACUCUUUAUAUUGAGAAAUUAAAAUUUAAAAUGAGAGUGAUUAAUGAUGUUUAUUUAUUAAAAAUAAAAUAAAAUUUAUGAAGUCUAUAUAUUUUUUAAAUUAAAAAAUAAUAACUUAAUUUCUUAUAGGGAGUGUUGGAAAUCAAGUUUUUAUUUCUUAAAUAUCCAAUUUUACUUCACAAAAAUUUUAUAAGUUCACUUUUAUCCUUAAUUAAAAUAUUAUUAUGGUUAUUAUUCUUAUUUUUGUAGUAGCUGCUGUUGUUAUUGUUGUUGUUGUUGUUGAUGAUGAUGAUAAUAGUUGAUAAUAAAAUUAAUAAUAAUAAUGAAAAUAAUAACUAUAAUUUUAACAGCUACAAUAAUAAUCAUUAAUGUUAUCGUUGUUCUUAUUAUUAUUAUUAAAAAAUAAUUAUUUUGAAUAAUAAUAAUCACAAUUAUUAUAACAAACAACGACAAUAAUCAACUAAUGUCAUUUUUCUAACUUAUAACAAUUCAUUUUUUAUUCCAAGACAAACUAACCAUAUCAAUAAUAAUACAGGUCGUUUCGAUUCUAAUUUUUACAGGUAAAGUAAAUAAUUUAUUCUGAUUCUCAUUUUUUAUUUUGAUUUUAUUCUAUUCCGAUUCCAUUUGAUUAUGAUUCCAGCCAAUUCUAAUUAUCGAUUAGAAAAUGCAUUGUUACUACUUUAACAAUAACUAAUGAUUCUCCUCACAAUUCUUAUAGGAUUAUCCUUAUUUUAAAAUAUUUUUUAUUCGUAUUUAUUAUUAAUUAAUUAAAUUAUAUCAAUGAAAAUCAAAUAAAAAUUUAACUAAUAAAAAUGAGAAAAUAUAUGUUUCGGUUUGAAUAAAAAAUUAUAAUAAAAUAUUUUUCUUACAUACUUUAAAUAUUUUUAUUAUAAUAAAUAUUUUUUUAUUCUCAAAAUAAAUUAUCAAGUAAACGAUUCAUUAACUCAUUUUUUUCCUUUAAAUUUUUGUUAUUAAGAAGAUUUUUGGGUAUUGACCGUGAAGGGCUCAACUGAUCGCUAAUUUUGCAGCAAUUACCUUUUCUUUUUCUUUUUUUUUAAUUGUUUUGAAAAAAUAUCCAGACUCAUUCUGCAAAGUACCUGAGACUAGAGCUGGCAAAAUUUGACACGACCCGAUUACCCGACACGAACACGACAUAAAUAAAUGGGUAUGGGUCGUCAAAUUUAACACGAUUAUUAAAUGGGUCGGGUCCGGGUCAACACGAUUUUUUUCCGUGUCGGGUUUGGGUUAAAAUUCUUGACCCAUUUACCCGAUCAAUGACCCGAUUAUAUUUUCUAUUUUAAAAUAAUUUAUAUAUUCUUAUAAUUAAAACUCAAAUAUUAGAGAUGAUUUUCUUUUUUUUUUUAUUUUUUAAAAGGGUGAAUAUAAACACAGUGUUUUAUUUAUAAAAUUUUACAUACAUUUAGAGCUUCAAUAGUGUAAAUGUGUAAAAAUUGAUAGACAUGUAUAUUUUAUAAUAUUGAUAUAUAAUAUUAUAUAUAUAUAUAUAUAUAUAUAUAUAUAUAUAUAUAUAUAUAUAUAUAUAUUAAAACUUCAAUAGUAUAAAUGUAUAAUAUAUUGGUAGAUAUAUAUAUUUUAUAAUAUUGAUAAAUUAUGUAUGUAUGUAUGUAUGUAUGUAUGUAUGUAUGUAUGUAUGUAUGUAUGUAUUUAUGUACAUACGUAUGUAUGAUAGUGUGUAAAUAUUUUAUGUAACUUUUGUUCAAUAUAUAGAUAUUAAACGGGUUAUUGGGUAACCCGAUUAUUUUUCCGUGUCGGGUUUGAGUCUCAAUAUUUUGACACGAUUAUUAAAUGGGUCGGGUUUGGGUCGAUCUAAAUUUGACACGACACGAAACUGACACGAUACGAACACGAUCCGAUGACCCGUUUUGCCAGCUCUACCUGAGACCAAAGCGCCGGCCAAAGCGCCGAAAGAUAGGACACCCACAUGUGCUUUUAUUUACAAAAUCUAAAGUUAGGGUGGGUGUCCAUAACUUAAAUUUAAUAGAAUUUAUAAUUAGGUAAAAUUCUUUGAUUGACCCAUUAACUUUUAUUAUUUUAUUAUUUAUUUUUAUAUUAAAAAAUUAGUAAUGUAGAAAAAUUCUUAAAAGUUAAUGGAGAAGGAAAAGAAAAAGAAAAAGUGUAAAUGAACUGUAUUCAUUUAAGUUUCAAACAUGUGGUUCAAUCUGAAUUCGUUUUUUUUAAAAGUAAAUACAAAAGAAAAUAUAAAGAAAAAAAAUUAAACGAGACAAAAAUCAGUGGCGUGGGUCAUUCAUAUCUUUUUCCAUUUUUUUUUAAUAGAGGUACAUAGCAUAGAGUCGAUAUUUUGAAGUGAAAAGCAGAACCUUUACUGUUGCUUCCCUUAUCAUCUUUUAAAAUUAGAGUUAUUAUUCUUUUAUUUUUAAGUGGCCAACGGAUGGUAGCCAACUCAUCCGUGUUCUCUAUUAUUGAAUUUAAAGAUCAAGGAUUUAUGUUAAUAAAUAUUUUGUUAACUAUCAAAGUUUUUAUUUCAAAAUUACUCCUAUAAUUCAUUAAAUUUUCAAUUUUUCCUUUUUCUAUUCACACAACAGAUUGAUUUGCCCUCCAAAAAAAUGUAUUAGAUUGUUUAAUAUUGUAACAUCAAGAAACUUAUAAUAAAUUUUUAAAGAGAUAAAUAGAGAAUGUCAGCAUCUACUCAAAAUUAAUAAAUAUACCACUAACUUCUUAUUAUUUUUAUAAUAACUAAUAACUUUUUUACCAGUAUAAUUUUAUAGUAUUAUUCUUAUUUGUAAGUAUAUUUUUUAUUCAUAUUUAUUAUAAAUUAAUUAAAUCAUAUCAAUAAAAAUUAAAAUAACACAAUAUGUUUUGGAGUGAAUAAAAGAUUGAAAAUAAAAAUAUUUUUCUUUUAUUUUUUGUUAUUUUAAAAUUUUUUUCUUAUAAUAAAUGUAUAUUUUAUAUUCUUAAGAUGAAUUUUGAGUAAAUGACUCAUUUACUCACUUUUUCUUUAAAUUUUUGUUAGUAGGAGGAUUUUUAGAUAUAAUGAAAAUUGUAAGGUAGUAAGUAAUAAUAUAAUAAUUUUAAUAAAGAAAAAUAAUUAAUUUCAAGACAUUUCAGAAGAUAUUUCAAUAUGCGGUGGACUACAUCCUUGAGUUGAGUCUUCAUCGUCUCAGUCAACUAAAAGGACAAAAUAUUGAGUCACAAAGGACUCAACUGAUUGUUAAUUUCACACCAAUUACCUUUUUUUUCUUUUUUUUUUCUUAAUCUAUAUAUUUAUAUAAAGUUAGUACUUGAGAAUGUGAUGUAUCAUCACCAUUUUUUUUUAUUUAAUAAAUAGAGAAAUUUUCUUUUAAAUUUGACUUUUCAUUUUCUCAUAAUUAAUUUGAUUGCUAUUGCACAAUAACAAUUAUGUAAAGAUUUUAAUGAGGCAUAUUAUUUGUAAUGAACAUUUAAGAGAGAGUGUUAUUUGUAAUGAACAUCUAAGGGAGAGUGUUAUGAAUUUAUUAAAAUAAAUAUAUAUUUUCAUAAUAUAUAUCUCUUAGUCUCCCCACUAUCUCCCAUUAGCAACCUUUAGCUUCCUUAUAACUCCCACUAUUUUUAUAAAUCCACCCACCUUCAUAAAAUAAUUACAAUAAGUUCACAUUAUUUUAUAGAAUUACAAAUUAAUAAUAAGUUUGAAUAAUUAAUUAAUUAAAUCAUUCUUAUAAUUUUUUUUCUUUCUUUGUCUUUCAACAAUCUUUAAUAAUUUAAGGUUGCUUUAAGAUAAGUUUAAUUUAAUUAAUUUACCCUUAUAAUAUAAAAUAACAAAAUUACCCUAAGAAAUAUAUAUUAUUGUAACUAAUUGUUUAGGCAUUUAGUUUUAUGUUUUAUAAUCUAAUAUGCUUUAUAUAAAAUUUAAUAAUUUUCAAUACUCCAAAUGUCCUAAUUACAUCUUGUUAGUUUAGUGAAAUAUUAAUAAUUAUACUAAAAAAGCAUUACUUAUACAUCAUUAAAAUAUAAAAAAAAUUAUUAAGUUAAAGUAAACUUUUAGAUAUUUUUGUUACUUUUACCUUAUAAGGUUAGAAUAAUUAUAUUAAUUUAUGUUAAAACAACCUUAUUGAUCAAAUAUAAUUAAAAAAAUAGUCUCAUAAAAAAAUUAAUGAAUAUGGAUUUAAUUGGUUAAAUUUUUAAAUUUCUUCUUAAUUUGAAUUUUUAAAAAAUAAUGUGUACUUGUAGUAAUGAUUUUUUAAAAUUGGGGUGGGUUAUUAUUGAUGACCUUUGAACAUACAUACAUAUUAUUAAUAUAUUUAUUAAUAUAUACGAUUACUUGUGAUGGUAAACGAGGUAGAUAUGGUAUAUUUUUAAGUUAAAAAAAAAAAACAAAACUUUUACCAUUUCCUGCCUUAUCAUCUUUUAAAUUAGACUUAUUAUUAUUUUAUUUUUCAAGUUGCAACUCAUCCUCAUUCUCUUUUAUUGAAUUUGACGAUCAAUGAUUAUAAAUUUGUGUGAAAAUUUUAAAUCAAAGUUUUAAAAUAAAAUAAUCUUUAAGUUAUUGAGAAAUAAUAACUUAAUAUAACAAAUAUUAUAUCUUGUACUUUAUUGCUACAAAAUUACGAAACCUUAUAUUAUAUUAUGUUUCCAUAUUUCUCCUUUAUAGUGAAAACCCAUACUUCUUCUCUAGUAAAUGCUAAAGUAUUGGGUUAAACUUUUUAACCAGCACAGUAGACCCUUAAGCUAUAUAUGUUAUAAUGUCCCUCUUCCCUCAGGAUUAAACCAAUCUGAUCUCAGAGUGAGUUUGCAUUAUUUGUCAUCAAAGGAGCAUCAUUACUAACUAAUAUAGACUCGAUCAAUAGGUAUGACAAUAAAUUUUCUGUCUACGAACACUAUUUUUUAAAAUAUUAUAUCUUUAGACUUAACUAAAUAUUUUUUAAUCAUAUAUGUAUAGUUUGUUUGAUCUCUUUUAAAUAGUGGAGAUCACAACAAAGCAAAUUCGAAUUAGUAGUGAUGUUGAGUUCAGAAGAUUGAAGUAAAGAAAACUAAGGGUUUCUUGAUCCAGAGAAAUUUCAAAAGAGUGAAGCGAAAAGUGAAUUUAUUGAGAGAUCUUUGAAGAUUUACUUCCGUUAAGAGUUGGAUGCCACACUUUUUGAGCCUUUGUCGUCCCAAUCAUUCAAUUAUAGGAUCCUUAAGUAUAUAACUUUCAAUCUUUUCACAUAAAUAAUGAGUAGUGUGAAUUCAUACAACUUAUAACUUUCUCACAUACAAUUUACAACAUUCUCACAUAAAUAGUGAGUAAAUCUAAACUACUCACUAUUCAUGUAAAAAAAUUAUAAAUUAUAUAUAACUUAGCAUUAUUCUCCACUAUAAAGACAUAUUCUUAUUAAGUGUGAACAGACAUAUUGAUCACUAAAUUUCCAAACUUGUGAUCCUCAUUAAAUGUGAUUCCCCUUUGAAAAAGAAAAAAAAGUGCAAAUAAUGAAACAAAAUUAUGUUCCUUAGCAGCAAGUGGCGUCGGCAUUUUCAGACUUGUAAAAGGGAAUGAGAUCCUUUCCUGAACCCGGAUCUCAUUCCCUGUGAAACAAAAAAAGGUGCAAAUAAUGAAACAAAAUUCUGUUCCUUAGCAGCAAGUGGCGUCGGCAUUUUCAGACUUGUAAAAGGGAAUGAGAUCCUUUCCUGAACCCGGAUCUCAUUCCCUGUGAAACAAAAAAAGGUGCAAAUAAUGGAACAAAAUUUUGUUCCUUAACAGCAAGUGGUGUCGGCAUUUUCAGACUUGUAACAAGGGAAUGAGAUCCUCUCCUGAACCGGGAUCUCAUUCCCUGUGACAAGACCCUUGCCACCCUUCAACUCGCUUUCCAAGAUAGCUAUAUUAAUCGUGACAACAUUACUCUCAGUGAGCAAAAGUUAACAGCAUCUUCUCCCUAUUUUUUUAAAAAAUUGUAUUAUAUAGCCCACCAAAACUAUAAAGAGUCUUUUCUUAUUAAAAUUAAUAAAUUACUCUUUAUAUUAAAAAAUUAAAAUUCAAAAUGAAAAUGAUCUGAUGUUUAUUUAUUAAAAUAUAAAUAAAAUAUAUGAAGUUCAUAUUUUUUUAAAUUAAAAAAUAAGAACCUAAUUUCAUUCCUUAAAUUCCCAAAUUUACCUCACAAAAAUUCCAUAAACUUACUUUUGUCCUUAAUUAAAAUAUUAUUAUGUUAUUAUUCUUAUUUUUGUAAUAGUUGUUGUUGUUGAUGAUGAUAAUACAUAUAAUAAAAUUAAUAAUAAUAAAAAUAAUAACUAUAAUUUUAACAACAGCAAUAAUAAUCAUUAAUAUUAUUGUUGUUGUUCUUGUUGUUGUUGUUGUUGUUCUUCUUCUUAUUAUUAUUAAUAUUAUCAUCCUAUUAUAUUAUUAUUAUUAAAUAAUUAUUUUGAAUAAUAAUAAUCACAAUUAUUAUAACAAACGACAAUAAUCAACUAAGGUAAUUUUAAUAACUUGUAACGAUUAAUUUUUAUUCAAAGAUAUGUGAUUAUUUGUUAAUGUAUGCAAUUACUUGUGAUGGUAAACAAAGUAUAUAUGGUAUAUUUUCAAGUUAAAAAAGAAAAACAAAACAGAGUUUUUACUAUUUCUUGCCUUAUCAUCUUUUAAAUUAGAGUUAUUAUUCUUUUUAUUUUUCAAGUUGCCAACUCAUCCGCAUGCUCUUUUAUUGAAUUUGAAGAUCGAUGAUGAUAAAUUUGUGUGAAAAUUUUAAGUCAAAGUUUUAAAUUAAAAUAAUCUUUAAAUUAUUGGAAAAUAAUAACUUAGUUGUAAUAAAUAUUAUAUUCUAUACUUUAUUGCUACAAAAUUACGAAACCAUAUAUUAUAUUAUGUUUUCAUAUUUCUCCUCUAUAGUGAAGACUCAUACUUCAACUUUUUAACUAGUACAGUAGACCUUUAAGCUAUAAAUGUUAUAAUGUCCCUCUUCGCUCACAGAUUAAAACAAUCUGUAGCCUUCUCUCAUAUAGAAAAACUUUUUGUAUAAGACAAAUUAUUAUGUUAUAGGAAAAAUUACAGCAGACGUAAGCCAUAUAUGUUAUAAUGUUCAGAAGAUUGAAGUUAAGAAAAUUAAGGAAAGUGUAAGGAUGUAUUUUCAAAGUGAAUUAUUAAGAGAUCUUUGAAGAUUACUUCCGUCAAGAGUUGGGUCCCACACUCUUAAGCUUUUUUCGUCUCAAUCAACUAACAAGACAAAUUAUUAUUGGGUGUGAACAGUCCGGCUUAUUGAUUGUUAAAAAAAUAGCAUUAUUUUGAGCGCACAUGUUGAGUAAGUCUUAUUUAACGAAAGUGAAAAAUAAGGUUCAAAUUUUAUUUUAUUGAUAUUUUAAUAAUAUUUUUUUUUAUUUUUUUAAAAUGGUGUUUAGGUAAAUAAGAAAUUAUUUAUUAAAAUUCAUUUUUAAAGUUAAAAAUUUAAAAAGAAAUGAGGUUUAUCCCACAUGAAAAAAAGAAGCUUAAGAAUUAGUAUUUAUAUAUAAACAUUUAACCAUUCAUAAAUAAGAAUUAUAGGAAUAGAGACUCUUUUCACACAUACGUGCGUAAGGGGUACAAAUUCAAGACGAAUUUAGUUGAACUCGUGUGCACCUGCAUAUCCUGAGAACGCAAAUGUCGGUGAUAAAUUUGUUUUAAAGAUUCUACUCUGUGUAGGCCUCGGUUCCAUUUUAUUUUUUCUGUUUCGGUUUUCAUCUCUCUUCGGUUUUGCUUUCUAUUAUUUCAUUUCAAAUUUCAGUAGUUAUCUUUCGUUGCUUAGCUACUGUUUAAUUUGUUACCUCACCGUUUGUUUUAUCUAACAUUGAUCACCAAAUUUUCAAACUCGUGAUCCUGAUUGAAUCUGCGUUCCCCUUUGCAAAAGUAAUAAAAAAAAGUGCAAAUAAUGAAGACUUUCUCUUUUCACAUUUUUUACGCGUUUCUCUUUUCUCUCCCCCACGUGAACACUUUUGCCUUUUGCUCGUUCACGUGAACGUCAUUUUAGAAUUUUUAUCUUUAUUAAUCAUGACAAUUGACAACAUUACUCCCACAUUUUUUUUAAAAAAAUUGGAUUAUAUAACCCACCAAAAGUAUAAAAAGUAUUUUCUUAUUAAAAUUAAUAAAUUACUCUUUAUAUUAAAAAAUUAAAAUUUAAAAUAAAGAAUGAUUGAUGAUGUUCAUUUAUUAAAAUAAAAAUAAAUUUUAUGAAGUCUAUAUAUUUUUAAAAUUAAAAAAUAAGAACUUAAUUUCGUAUGAACUGUAUUCACUACUUAGUAUUCUUAAAAGUUAACGGAGAAGAAAAAGAAAAAAAAAAGUGUAAAUGAACUGUAUUCACCUAAGUUUCAAACAUGUGGCUCAAUCUGAAUUCGCUUUUUUCAAAAGUAAAUACAAAAGAAAAUAUAAAGAAAAAAAAUUAAACGAGACAAAAAUCUGUGGCGUGGGUCAUUCAUAUCUUUUUCCAUUUCUUUUGUAGAGGUACAUAGGGUAGAUAUUUUGAAGUGAAAAGCAGAGCCUUUACUGUUGUUUGCCUUAUCAUCUUUUAAAAUUGGAGUUAUUAUUCUUUUAUUUUUAAGGAUGGUAGCCAACUCAUCCGUGUUCUCUAUUAUUGAAUUUAAAGAUCAAUGAUUUAUGUUAAUAAAUUUUUUGUUAACUAUCAAAGUUUUUAUUUCAAAAUUACUGCUAUAAUUCAUUAAUUUUUCAAUUUUUCCUUUUUCUAUUCACACAACAGAUUGAUUUGUCCUCCAAAAAAAUGUAAUAGGUCGUUUAAUAUUGUAACAUCAAGAAACUUAUAAUAAAUUUUUAAAGAGAUAAAUAGAGAAUGUCAGUCUCGCAUCUACUCAAAAUUAAUAAAUAUACCACUAACUUCUUAUUAUUUUUAUAAUAACUAAUAACUUUUUUAGCAUUAUAAUUUUAUAGUAUUAUCCUUGUUUGUAAGUACAUUUUUUAUUCAUAUUUUUUAUAAAUUAAUUAAAUCAUAUCAAUAAAAAUUAAAAUAACACAAUAAGUUUUGGAGUGAAUAAAAGAUUGAAAAUAAAAAUAUUUUUCUUAUAUUUUUUGUUAUUUUUAAAUGUUUUUCAUAUAAUAAAUGUACAUUUUAUAUUCUUAAGAUGAAUUUUGAGUAAAUGACUCAUUUACUCAUUUUUUUUCUUUAAAUUUUUGUUACUAGGAGGAUUUUUAGAUAUAAUGAAAAUUGUAAGGUAGUAAGUAAUAUAUAAUAAUUUUAAUAGAGAAAAAUAAAAAAUCUCUUAUUUUAAAAUAUAAGGAGAAAAAUAAUUAAUUUUAAAAAAUUUUAGAAGAUAUUUCAAUAUGCUGUGGAUCACACCCUCGAAUCUUUGUCGUCUUAGUCAAUUAAAAGGACAGAAUAUUGAGUGUGAAGACUCAACUGAUUGUUAAUUUCACAGCAAUUGUCUUUUUUUUAUUCUUUCUUUGUUUUUCCUAAUUAUUUUGAAAUAGUAGGUAGCAAUUGCUUACAUCAAAAUAUCUAAACUCACUCAGCAAAGUAUCCGAGGCCAAAAUGUCAAAACGUGGGACACCCAUACAUCUAAUUACAAAGUCUAAAGUUAAUGAAAAGAAAAAAAGAAAAAGUAUAAAUGAACGGUAAUCACCUCAUUUUCAAACAUCUAAUUCAACAUGAAUUUCUUUUUACGAAAAGUAAAUUUUCUCCCGGAUUGUCCUCAUUACAUUAAACGAAUGAUGACGACGCUCUGUCCGUUUCUGACUCUCUGCUUUGCUCUCUCACAUCACGAGACACCUCGUUUCUAACUGGGGUACCACCAUCAUAUUUAACUGUCGGGUCUUCCUACUAUGCACCUAGUGUAUGCAUGAUUCUUUGUGACAUGACAUAUAGCCAAUUAAAUUCUGACAUGCUUGCAAUAAAGACUGUUAAAGUGACCGGUUAUUCCGGUUGAUUUCACAAGAUCUUUUGUUUGUGUGUUUGUGUUCCAAGUUGUGUACUCUAUGUUACGACUCCUCUGAUUUUUUUUUUUUUAAGUCUGUUAUACAGAGAUAUUACUGACAUUACAUCAAACAUUACAAUUAAUAUUUACAAUCAUACUAUAUAACUGGGACCACCACCAUACAUUGACACACUGAAGUAUAUGCCCAGAUAUUUUAAACCCUCGAAUUAUACACAGAUAUUACUGACAUUACAUCAGAUAUUACAAUUAAUAUUUACAAUCAUACUAUAUAACUGGGACCACCACCAUACAUUGACACACUGAAGUAUAUGCCCAUAUAUUUUAAACCCUCGAAUUAUACACAGAUAUUACUGACAUUACAUCAGACAUUACAAUUAAUAUUUACAAUCAUACUAUAUAACUGGGACCACCACCAUAACAUUACAAUUAAUAUUUACAAUCAUACUAUAUAACUGGGACCACCACCAUACAUUGACACACUGAAGUAUAUGCCCAGAUAUUUUAAACCCUCGAAUUAUACACAGAUAUUACUGACAUUACAUCAGAUAUUACAAUUAAUAUUUACAAUCAUACUAUAUAACUGGGACCACCACCAUACAUUGACACACUGAAGUAUAUGCCCAUAUAUUUUAAACCCUCGAAUUAUACACAGAUAUUACUGACAUUACAUCAGACAUUACAAUUAAUAUUUACAAUCAUACUAUAUAACUGGGACCACCACCAUACAUUGACACACUGAAUAUCAGACAUUACAAUUAAUAUUUACAAUCAUACUAUAUAACUAGGACCACCACCAUACAUUGACACACUGAAGUAUAUGCCCAGAUAUUUUAAACUCUCUCUAAUAUUCGAGGGGUGCCUGCUCCACUCACAUUUCGUAAGGGAGAGACUGUCUCCAUUCAAUUAAUUAAUAAUUGAGGAAGAACUGAAACUAACCUCUAUAAUGCUCUUAUGGAGGCUCGAACCCUUGCACUCAACAUUAUAAGUACAAGGCUUCUCCCAUUGGACCAAAGGCCUAUUGGUAUGAGUUCUCUGAUUAAGUCUGAUAUUAUCUGUUGCUCAAUAAUGUUACAGGUUUUAUAAUAUGACUGGUACGAUCGCUGUCACAAAUUUAGAACGAAAAGUUUCCAAUAAAAUAAGUUAUUUAAUUAAUUAAAUAAGAAUAAAAUGAAUUUGUGAAAAAAAUUUAAAUUUAAUUUUGAAUUAUUUUGACCAAAAUUUAAGUUUUUUUUAAUUUGUUUAAGAAAAUGUGUUGUAAUUGUCUUGUUUUAAUUGGAAAAUCAAUGAAAAAAUUAUGUAACAGACAAAAAAAAAAAAAAAAAAAAGCAAAACGGUUUGUUUUGUAUGGAGGCCAUAGAUUCUAAUAUUUCCUUCACGAAAACUACAAAAAAAUUAUCAAAGGCAUCAAUUUCUACACUCUCACCGAGCAAUACUCUUAACCCAGAAGAAAGUGUAUAAACCAACCCCAAUCAGUCCAUCAAUGUCGUCAACCUCAUACAGCAUAAAAAAAAAUCUGUGUCCAUUAAACCGCCAUUUAAACCGUCUUUAUUGAACCAUUAGACUAUUCGUGUCAUCUUCCCAUCUCGUUGUAGUAUUUUACCUUUCAAAUUUAGUUAUCAAUUCUGGAAAAUGGGACCAAUCUGCAAGUCUUUAAAAUAGAAAGAAACUUUAAUUGGGCACUAUGUUCACGGUAGUGGACCCAGCAGCAUUAAUAUUUAGGGUGGAGCUAUUUAUAUUUUAAACAUUCUAAUUUUAAUAAGAAUAUAUAUUACAAAUGAUCACGACAUUGGGGACCAAUCACGUUGACAAGCAUUUUUUUUAUUUAUUAAUAAAGUGCUCUGAAAAGAGCUAAGGCAAUACUAAACGGGGGUGGUCCCGUUUUUAAUCUAACAUAGAGUCUUAAAAACCUUGUCAGUGGCAAAUGAUCACGACAAGAAAUCUGAAGGAGAAACAGCAGAGCUCAACAAAUCACUAAGAGAAAAUAAGACCAAUAACCAAGCAGAUAAAAGAAAAGCAAAAUAACCCAUCUCAAAAUCACCACAUGCACUAUUUAAGGGGUUUGUGAUAUGGGUUUAAAAAUAAUUUAACAAGUGCCACCUGUGAAUUGUCAGAGAUUGUAUCUUCAUACACAUGUCAAAUUUUCAAGUCCAACAAAUUGUUAUCUUUCUAAAGAGGCUAAUAUUAUUAUUAUCUAUGCAUAGCAUGCUAUAAACAAUUCAUAUUACUAGGGCCUUUGUUUUCUGUACACAACAUAUGGACAGAGGAACAAAUCCCUGAGCUAAAAUCAUCAUAUUCCAAAAUAUUCUAUUAAAUCAACACCACAAAACGCGAACGCUAAACAGAAUUGGAGCAAUUUACCAAAGCUAUUUGUCACGCAAAGCACUAGUACCUCAGAACCCAAUUUGCAAAAAAGCACCAAAAAUGAAAAAUAACAAAUGCCCAGAUGAAAAAUCAGGAAAAAAAAAUGCUCAAAUCCAAAUUACAACCCCAUAAGCUGAGUCGUUCUAUUCGAACUGAAUUAAAAAAAAUUAAUUAGGGAGAUUGACCUCAAACUUUGGAAACAGAAGCGACAUCGAUCUGUUUCUUGUCUGGAGUGUCCAUUUCUAUAAUCUACUUUGUCCGUUUUCAGUUGCUCUGCCACAAAGCUUCUUCCCUCUGAAGCUGAAGCUCACACACACUUGCAAAACGAAAGCAUUUUUUAUUGAUUGAGAGGCGGGAAGGCGGGAAAAUGAGAGAAAUUUGCAUUUGUUUUGUCUUGGUUUGGUCAUACCUGUGCGGGCCCCAGCUUGACAAGCGGUAUUAUUACUAUUUGUAUAAUUUACAUGACGCGUGUCACGCAAUGACGAUAAAAUGUAUAUAUUGUUAAUUUUUCACUUAACAUUGAAUGAUUGAAAUAUCAUAUAAUUUUUCCAAUUUUAUGGUUAUUUUCUCGCCCUUAUGCCACAUUCUUUUGAUCAAAUAAUACAGUAAAACUUUUCUAUAAUCAUAAUAUUAGAGCCAAAUUAACUUUGUUUCUGUAAAGAGGCUAUAGCUUAAUAAAGGUAAAAUUAUAAAAAUUAUUAUUUUGACUCAGUUAUCUUUAGUGCAAGUGAUAUAAAGUACAAAUAUAUGAUAAUUAAUUAAUGAACUAUGUCAAAUACAAUAUGCUGACAAUGAUAAAAAAGAUAGACAUAAUUUCAAGAAACUAAUACAUAUAUUUAUGUAGUGCUGGGAUUAUACAAAAUUAUCUUAAAAGUGUAAAGAGUAAAGUAUUAUUCUAAUUAAUUUAAAAAAAUUAUUUUUUCUUAAUCUUUAAUGCAACAUAGCUUUUUUUUUUUUUUUCUUAGCAACAAAGCAUUGUUCCACAUAAUUAUUAUUGGAUUCAAAUCAUGUCCUAGGCAUUUUUUCUUCUAGUCGUCUUAAACUUUUAAUGAUUUAUUGGCAUGCGUCAAUCAUUAAUGAAAUUAAAUAACUAAGACUUUGUUUUAAUUAACGUUUACAUAAAUAGACAUCAAAACUCACAUGUGAUUCUUAUCAAAUUUUUUCCUGCAAAUUCUUUUCCUCUCAACUAUUCAUAUUUUGACAUUAAUUUCCAGCAAAUUAUUAAAAAAAAGAAGAAGCGUAAAAUGGAGAAAAGUGAUUGACAACAAGGUUUGCAUCUUAAUUUCAAAAAUUUCCUUUCUUUGUUAUUUUUGUGGGUUCUACAAUUGUUGUUUUCACUCUCAGCUGCAGUUCAAUGAACUCUAUUAAUAACCAUGAAGCUUAAUGUAUCAAUUCCAGUACGAGAAGUCCUUCUACGCAUGUUACAACACUUUUUUGUCAUUAUAGGUUGCAAAUGUUCCGUAAUGUACUCAUUCAUAUAACGGAAACGCUAUUAUCAAUAAUGAAAGUUGACUAAGUUUGUAAAUUCUAUUUAACGAAAAAGUAACAUAAAUUUAGUUGAACAAGAGGUAAUUAAUAUGUAAUCUAUGAAACUAGGGUGUGACUAAGUUACAUAGUAAUGUAACUUACAUGAACACAAAAAUAAUUAGUUUUUAAACUACAAGUAAUUUUGGAACUGCUCUUAAAUUGAUAUAAGUUUUAUUAUUAUGUAACUUAGCAAGGUCAGGUAUUUUAAUAAUAGCACAUCACUAUUGUUUCAUGUGAAUGAUGCAAUUGGAUUAGCCAAUACAUACCGUCAUCCCCGGGAGAUGCUAUGGCAAUAGCUUACUCUAUCGUGCCAAUGUCAUUAGUAUUAAUCUGUUGAACCUAAGACCAUAUCUAAGCUGAUCUAGAUUCCCCAAGAUCGCACACCACACAGUGAUUAAUGAAUCAAGAACAAUAAACCAUCAAAGAAUCGCAAACUUACAUGUCGGGUUACAUGUAAUAAAUGUUUUAAUUAUUAGAUGAUUCAUAAUGUUAGACCAUUUUUUGUAUGUUUUGUAAUCUACGUUUGAUAAUUGAAUUAGCUGAUAAACACUUGAAUAAUAUUAUUUUAUUAACUAUGUCAUUGAUCCCCAGGAAAAAAAAAAAAAAACCCAAUUUGGGAUGUUAUACAUUACUUUUUCAUUACUUCCCAUUUUAGAUUAAUAUUUAUCACAUAUAUUCUUAGUAACUUGUAACCCUUUUUGCUAAGGGUGAAAUGUGUUUGUUACCCCUUCUAUUUCUGAGAUUGUCCUUACAAUAAGGAUGCCGGCCCCAAUGUCAAAAACUGCUAUCUCUAGGUGUAAAUUCCUUAUAAAAUUCUUUUUUAAUUGAAAUUACUUAAAUAAUUGAAGAUAAAUUAUUUUUUAUUUCAUUCAAAUAAAAAAAUCAAUUAAACACUUAAAUAAGCUAUCCUUUUAAUUUUUUUUUUUUACACCCAUCCAGUUUCAUAAUUUAUAUUUAUAAUUUAAAUUUUAAUGGAAAAUAUUUUUUUGAAAAAUUUUAAGAAUUAAGAAUUAUGGGGAUAAAAAUUAUGUAAUAAGACCAAAAUAAUUUAAAAUUUUAAAAUUUGCAUGUAUUAUAAACAAAAACUUGAAAGAAAUACUCUUUUCAGGGUGAGAUUUAAUCAGAAAAAGAUUAAUUUUCAUUUAUGGAUCAGUAUUUUAUAAAUUAAACAGAGGUAUUUUAAGAAAUAGAAUUCAAAAGGCAUGGGAACAAGGGCAUGGCAUUGGGUUUCCUUUUGUUUUGUAUGGAUUGGGAAAAAUACACGGACAGACAAAGGGAACAGUCAUUAUAAUGAUGUGGAACUUGUCGGAGAUUCCCUGCCCAUUUGUAGCUUAGACUCCUGGGGUUUUGUUCAUGUCUUUUCUGUAUCCCACUUUCUCAUGCAGCAGAUGUACAUAUGAUGAGAUGAAAACAACAGCAAAAAUUGCUGUCUCAUAAGAGAAAUAGUCAUACAUAGUUGGUUAGGCCUCCAGUCCAUUAACUUAAUAAUCAAUUUUAUGAAAAUUGAUUAUCUCAUUGGAAUUACAUAGAUAUUGGAAAACAUUACUCCAGCCCCACCAUCCCAACCAUUUACUUAGUUCAUCAGUAAAAGCUGGAUUUACCAUUUGUUCUUGAGAUUCAAAUUAAGGCAACAAGUUGCUCAUUCUAUAUUAUCUAUGUAAUCCUGUAAAAGUGAAGGGCGUUUAGAUGUGGAAAAACCUUACCCCUGCCGCAACACCUCAAACAGAUUGUGAUCAGACAAGACUUAGUUCAUCAUUAGUAGUAGUUGGAGCUUCCAUUUGUUCUAGAGAUUUAAAGGCAGCAAGCUGCUUCCUCAGUGCUACUAAUUCUUCCCCGGCAUUGCAUAUGUAGCCUGAGGCUUGUCUACCAGACAAAGUUGCUCCUUCCAUACCAUCUAUGUAAUCCAGUGAGAGUGAAACCAUUUAGAAGACGUAUCUCUUUCUUUCCAAUAUUUAGAAUGAAACAAUUAUAUACAGUUACCUGUUUUGCAUAUGAGCCGGCGAGGAAGAAGUUCUUCACUGGUGUCAUUGGAUCACGUCUGAAGGGGUCUUUACCAGGUCCCUCACCACACAAAGAUUGCCCGAUUUUGACGAAAGAUGACCAAAUAACUUCUAAACCUUGGGAUGAUGGAAAUGGAGCUAAAACCUAAUAAAAGGAACCGUGAAUGGAUAGUAUGGACUCAUGUAUAUUAUCCAGAAAGUUGCAUGACCUUUUGUGGUACUCAGGUCACUAAAAAACGUGAGAUAAACAUCUAGGAUAAGAAAAGCAAAAAAGCAUAACCUAAUACGUAUUAUAUGAAUUGAAGGUGUCACUGAACGCUACCAACCUGCUUUGCCACUCUCCUUAUGAUUUCAUCAUUUGGUAAGGGCAUAUAAGGAUCUCCAGGCGUCAAAACGCAUCUGAAAGAUAAUAUGGUUAUAGUUAACAAAAUGGAAUACAAAGACACUUGGCAAAAGGAAGUCAAUCAGAUUCCAUGCACAAAAAAUAACUAAUAAUGACGAGGAUAAGAAAUUUUGCACACUGGUGCCUUCUCUAUAGUAGUCUUCUGGCGAAGUAAGUGCUAGAUCUGCAAAGCAAGAGAAAUCUGCAUCUGGAGUAUAUAAAAGGUUAUCUAACUCCACAGCUUGCCUCAAUUGCCUACAUGUUCAAAACAAGGAUCUAUUAAAAAAUGGAAAUUUCUUCAAUGAAUUAGUGAAGGUAAGUGAAGUGAAACCGGAUUUCUUAAGCCUUCACAGAGCAUCUUGUGUUUGAAUUCCGGUAACCUCAGAAAAGAUUAGAGCAUCACCUUGACCGUUCUAGGUCUUGCAACUCAGUAACCCAACCAUUGUAUCUAAGCUGCACUGUGACAACAUGAACUCCAACGAGCUCAUAAAUAUUGUUGAAAAAUUUCAUUUCCCUCCAGCCUCCACAAUGAUGAAAGCAAUCUUUUAAUUCCAGGGACAUCACAUGCUGCCAUUAAAUAAGAAGUUGAAUAAAGAAAAAUCGUUCAACUAAAUGAUUCAGGAGUUAAAACAAAAUGUAGAAGUAGAAAUAAAUAACGAAGAUUUAACCAUAAACCUGCAACAUUUGCAUCAGCUUGCACAACCUUCUUGUCAGUGGCCUGAAAUAGAAUGAGAACUUGAAAGACAGUAAGCAUAAAAGAAUAAACUCAAAGAAGCUGCUUCUUACAGAUGAUAUAAACAACAAAUUUACAAAUGUCAGGUCAUUGCAUUAGCUCCAUGCCUCCAUCAGAGGGAAUAUUAAUAGAUGCAUAAAAAAAUAAUUAGAGCCACAUGUGAAACAAUUUACCUUAGACAUGGCAAGUGCUUUAACAAAUGUUUCCCCGUUAGCAGAUUUAUCAUAAAGUAUCUCUCUGCAUCCCCACCUAAGAUGGAACCUGUUCUCACAAGAACAGAUCCCAAGGUUGGGAAAAUCAGUUCAUCAUAGGAGAAAACAAAUAUGAUUAACAAAUCGCUACAAUGGUGUGAACCCGUAAAUACAAACGUACCUGCCCCCUUUAUCUGUGAUAUAUUUUCUUAUGGGCCCACUCAAAUAUACAUCCGGAGAACCCUUGAGCAUCAGCAAUAGGGAAGCCUCGGUCUUAGUCGCAAAUAGUGCAAGUAUAGUAAGCAUACAAUGAGCACUGAUGUUAUCACAAUCAAUAAACCCAAGGGCAUACGCAACAGGAUCCCACAUUCUUUGGAUACUUGUCCGUGUACCACCCUUGGACAAAAACCAAUCAGAGAAGCUUAUGUGUAAGAAGAAAUGAAGUUUUAGGUAAAAUAACAAUUUGUAGGAACAGGGAUUGAAAUUCAACAAACAAGAAAAUAUGAUGUCAUUCUUACACUAUCCAAAUCUCAUAUGUCCUUCAAGGCUCCAUCAGGAUCAACAAGUGCCUUUACAACAGGACUCAGAGCAAGAGCAAGAGCAUUUCUUGCUUUAUCAUAAGUCUGCACUUGAGCAAUAUACCAGGCAAAGUACAUCAAAAGAGAAUCCAAAAGAGGCAAGAAGCUUCAACAUGAAAAAAGGAGUACUGCCUCAUCAUACUGCUUUGCAAUCACAGUGCAAAAGAUAACAUCAACAAAUCAAAAUCAAGCAAAAAUCCAUAUGCACUACCUUAAGCUGAUUUGUAGACAAAAGUGUGCGAAUCCCAUGUAACGGAGCUUCAAUCGGAAACCGGAAAUCAAGUUCUGGAGUUGAAAAUCAAAAUCAUGAACCAAAUCAGAGUUAUUAUUGAAUUUGACAAUCCAUAAACCAAUAGAAGGUGAUGUCAAACCAUCAAGCAUAACUACCCACCAAGCAUAACUAUUAGUAGUUUUAAGUGAUCAAGAAAUAACCAUACCACCAAUUUCACUACCCUUAUUUACAAAUGUAUGAGUAUGAUCCUUCAUGAGUAAGUUUUUGUCCGCACCUACCUGUCGAAAUGCUUGAAAAACUAUCAGAUCAUAAACACAGGCUCCAGUUAAAGAGGAUCUAUGACUCUGAUCCAUCAUGUUAUUUGAACAACAUUUUCGAAUUUUGGUACAACCCUAAGCUAUAAUCAGUUAUCAUCACUACAAAUGAUAUGGUCAAGAGGAAUGAUAGUUCUUGUUUCAAGUAUCUCAAAUCGUAAUUCUUUUGCAUGGCUUGUGUGCUUUUAUAAUCAUUCAAACACGCAUAUCCACAACUAAGCAAGCUUUACCAUUUUCAUCAAUCGGAAGAGAUUAUUGUAGCAUCCAAAGAAAAUGUGCAGACCCAUUUCAAUAUGGUUUUCAAGUUUAUCGACAAAUGAACCCACUUUACCACCAAUAAAAGACCUCGACUCAUAUAUAUCCACCUGGAAGAAAGGAAAAGUUAAAAAAAAAAAGUGUUGAGAAUUAUGUUUGAUUAAACUUAAUUCUUUCCCCAAGAAAUCUCCACACACUGAUCUUAUUGAAACAAGAAUGAAUACCCAAGAUAGUAAUCAGAAAUAAAGCAAGAGUGUUUAGACAGAAAUAGAGAUUAAAAGCAUAGAAUAAACUGGACACAAGGAGAAUUCUAGAGGUUCGGCUGGGUAGCCUACAUCCUCUUGAGAAACAGAAGCCGUAGCUUUUCUUUGAUGCUUAACAGAUUACAAGACUUAGAGAGUUUGUUACAAAGAACGUUGGUUAUCUAAACUUGGCCUUGGGGCCCUUAUAUACAGCUCUCGAAGGAUCCAGAUAAGUGUGCUGCUUGCCAGCUCUUGUUCUGGGUUUGUUGAAACAAACCCAGAAAGUUCCCGCCAAGGCUAACCAUUGAUAACAGCCUUUUAAUUAGAAACGACACUUGCUGCUGCCGUUUAACUAAAGCUUGAAUCCGUAGAUGCUCGAGCAAUUCACGUGCAUUACUUAAGCUAUUCGUGUGACAGGAUAUGGUUGUCAUAUGCGCAGCAUUAUCUGUCUGAUUGCUUUGUCGUUUCUUGAUUAAUACUAGACACGACAAAGUCAUCUUCUCCGUAAGCUCUUAAUUCAGGCUCACAAUUAACAAAAAGGAAAAAAAAUUCUUCUAAUUUCUUUCACCAUCAACAAAAUCAGAAAAACACAUACUAGUUCAAAAUAAAAUAAAGUUUGUGAAUUGAAAUAAUGCCAACUCCUAAGAAAAAUUAUGACUGCUGAUAUUUUUUCCGAAAUGCUGAUAAAAGCCUCUGCUAUUUACUUUGAAAAAAUUGAGGUUAGAAGCCAAUUUACUUGAAAUUUUGAGUUUAGGCAAGAGGAUGAAUGGUAAAAGUGAAACAUAUUAGGGAAAAAUGUACUUCAGAGGCCAAUGAAAGCAUUCAGAAGAUUGAAAACUAAAUGAGCAAAACCUCGUGGCCAUGAUCCAACAAUUCCACUGCUGUUGACAUGCCUGCAAGCCCAGCUCCAAUAAUAGCCACUUUCAGCUUUGGUCCUCUAUAAUGUUCCAGUUCUGGUGGAAACAAACCCUUGGGAGCUGCCAAGUAUACCAUCCAAUUAUCCACAGCGAUAAUGGAAAUAUAUAUGUGUUUGAAAGUACUAAAUUCCUAAACAGGAAAUGUAUCCAAAAAGAGACACAAAGCAGAAUUUCGUAAGCAUUUCAAUUCCCAAUAAAUUUCGAGAAUACAAAAUACUCGGUCUGUUCUUCAAUUCCUUUAAUAAAAUUUCCACUAGAGGCUACGCAAGCCACUCAAUAACACGCCAAAGCCAGAUUUUAAACGUUAUCUUUAUCUUUAACUCCAAUCCACAAACAAUUCUGCCAGAAAUUCAAUCCAAAAUUGUUCAAGUGCACCGCCAAUUCUCCAUCAAUUCCCUCAAAAAUUCAUAAUUGGCAAACAAUACAAACCAAAAAGAGCUUCCGGCAAUAAACGCAUAAAAAUCCACCAAGCAACAUAAAACAAAAUACCCAGAAACCAGAAAAGCCAAAAGAUCAAUGCUUGUGCAAACAAGCAAAUCAAAUAAAACAAAAAAAAGAGGAAUUUACCCUUAACGCUCAUAUCAGAAAUAUUAGUAUCCAAAGAAGCCCGUACACGGAAUCUUGGACCCUUCACUUGAACCCGAGACCAUGUAACGCCAGUAACUGAAGUUGCAGGAAACAGAACUGAAGAACCCAUAUUGCAAAUCCUGAGCUGAAAUCAAGAAUUUCAAUUGGAACUCAAUUCAGCUCAACCCAGCUGAGCUCUCUUUUGCUUCAAUAACAAAGUGUUUUUCUUUUAUAUCAACAAAGAUUUGUCAACAUCAACAAAAUUUAACUAAGAAACUAGAAUAAUAAAAGAGGGCACCUUUGAGUUUAAGAAUCUAACAGGAUGCUAAGGAAGAGAGUUUUGUCAGGGAACUGUUUCGGAGAGGUUGGCCAAGUGCUUUUUUGUUUUUUAUUUUUAUUUUUUUCUCAUUUUGGCCUUUUUCAUUAAUACACAACAUCAGUACUCGCGAAGAGCACAAAAUGUUGGUGACUUUGUCACUAACGAUAGUGGAUGGAGCGACCAAAGCAACCAACUAAAUUUUAAAGAGAGGGAAUGACAAGCAAUAUUUUAAUUGGGUGAUUAAUUAAUGUAUUAUCAAGCAAUUGCAUUUAUUUAUUUAAACGAUGUCCUUAUCUUUGGACAAGGUUGAGGAAAGACCGCGAUGUUGUGUUGUCACGUAUUUUUGGGCCGACCGUUUCCAGUUUCGGCUUAAAUGAGGCUUUUGUAUUUUUGUGCCGUUUUUUUACUGAGUAUUUUGUCCUAAAUUACACAAAGAAAAUGUGUAUUUGUUAAAAAAUCUGUUGAAACUCAGAACCUCUUAUGUGGACUUUAGAAUGCGACAGUAUUGAUAUCUAAGUUCGUAAUAUCAAGAGUGAUAAAACGGAUAAAUGAAUAGAAAUGUAAAUAAAUUUGGUUAAAAUUUAAUGGAUUCGAAUUCGGUAUGUUAUCAAACAAAUCAUAAUCUUAGGAUUUGGAUUCAAUUCAUUUAUUAAUUGGAUACCUAUUUAAUUUGUUUAUUAUACAAAAUUAAAUGAAUUGAAUUGAAUUGAAUUUAGAUUCAUUUACAAUUUGUUUAAUUUAUUUAUGUAAAAUUAAUAAAAAAUCAAUCAAAUGUGGAUUUGUUUAAAAAAUAAUAAUAAUUAAUAGCAAAAAUCAAGCAAAGUAAAAUAGAAAAAAAAUCAUAAAAUUAACAACCUACAAAAUAAAAACGAAUUAGUGACCGCAAACUUGAAUUCAAUUCAUUUAUUUAACGAAUUGAAUUGAAUUCACUUAUUUGUUAAUGAAUCAAUUUUUUUUAAAAUUCAGACCUAUUUAACUUGAAUCAAAUAAACACAUCCUAAUCUAAAUUGUCACCUCUAAAUAUGAUGGACCUAUUUAAAAUAUAUGAAUACCAAAAUGUGUGGGCUAAAAAGUGGUUUACCAUGCAACAAUACGAAGUUUAAGCUCUCUUUUCUUAUGUCAUCCAAGGCAUUGCCUGGAUCGCCAAACACUAGAGUUCAAGUCUACAAUAAAGAAUCGAAAUUUUUCUUUGUAAAUGUUCGUAAGUAUUUAGCAUAGAUUUUUAAGUUAUACUUGAUAGAUCCCCUACCAUAUUUGCUAUAAUAUUUCUCUUCUUUUAAUUUAAAAGUAAAUCAUAAUAACGGAUUUGUAAAGAAAUUAAAUUUCCAGUAAUUAACUGAAAAAAUAAAAAAGAUGGAUUAAGCGAAAGAAGUUAAUAUAGAGUAAAGUCGAGUACUUGACAAUUAAAGUAAUUUUACUCGAGGUUGAGUAAGGAUAGUAUGAUACUUUCCCAGGUUUUCCGAGGACAUUCAUGUAACAUUGGACUAUUGACUAUAGUUAGAGAGAAGUCCAAGGAUGUAAGUGAUGAUGAUAGAUUCACAAUUCUUUUGAAGAAAAUAUUUUAUAUAAACUUAAUUAUAUGGUAUAAAAUGAUUGGCCUUAAUAAAAUUAAAAAAUAAUAAAAAUAAUACACGCCUGGGUCAUGCAAUAUUUUCAACCAACUAAUUUACACGCAAAAUUAAACCUUAUGAGUGAGAACAUUAUGGUACAUUUAUAUGCUAGCAAAAACUCCGCAAAAAUUUUCCGAAAUGUGAAAAUGAACACUUUUAACAAUGACACAAAAUUCCCACCCCCCAUGAUUAAUUCUCUUAUCUGGAAUAUUAGGGGGAUUGGAAAAGCCCCUGCGGAAAUUAGUUCGAUUACAUCGAUUGUCUUUGAUUUGUGUGUUGGAGCCAUUUAUUUCCAUUGAUCGUUUAGAGGCUCUUCGGGUGCGGCUUGGGAUGGAUCAUGCUUUAUCUUCCCAAUCUGGGAAGAUUUGUGUUUCUGGUCCGCACCUUUCUCGGUGGAGCUUCUGCAUGACAUGGGCAAGGUGAUUCAUUGUCGGGUUAGUCACUCUUUUUUUCCUGAUCCUGUGUAAGUUUCAUAUGUGUACGCUAGUUGUUAUAUGGAUGUGCGAGAGAAUUUAUGGGAUGCUCUUAAGACCUUUGCGGAUAGUCAUGAUCUACCUUGGAUCGUGGGGGGAGAUUUUAAUAUGAUUCAGGCGGUCUCGGAGAUUUCUGGCGGGCAUCCACAUACUCGGGGAGCUAUUGAUGCCUUUAAUUUAGCGUUGCUUGAUUGUGGUUAGGAGGAUGCUGGCUUUGUUGGCAGUCCUUUUACUUGGACUAAUGGGCGCCCAUGGAGGCAGCUUGAUAGGGUGGUCUGCAACGCUCACUAGUAUGCUUUCUUCUCAGUAUUUCGGGUCUCUCAUCUGAAUCGUACUGCCUCAGAUCAUUCUCCUUUGCUUUUUCUUGGUGAUCGGGGCGCUGUUAGAGGACCUUCACGGUUUAAAUUUCUUCAUGUGUGGCUCAAGCAUCCAGGUUUUCUUGAUACUAUGCGGCAGUCUUGGGGUGCUCCGGUGGUUGGUUCUGGAAUGAGAGCCUUUCAACAGAAACUCACUCGGUUAAAGUUCUGCCUAAAAGCUUGGAACAAAGAUGUCUUUGGUAACGUUUUUUCUCAGGUCCAACAAGCAGAGGAGGACAUGGCUCAGAAGGAAAGAUUGUAUGAUAUUUCUGGCUCCGUCGAUUACAGAGCUAAUUUUUCCGAGGCCAGGGCCUGGUUGCAGCAUGCUUUGCUUCGUGAGGAGAUUUUUUUUACGUCAGCAGUCCAGUGUUCGAUGGGUUCGAGAGGGCGAUGCUAAUACCUGUUUUUUCCAUGCGAUGAUUCGGAAAAAGUGCCAGUUGUUUCAUAUUCACAGGAUUCGGGUUGAUUGUUUCUUAGAGUGGAUUUCUGAGCCCUCCGCCAUUGUAGAUUAUGAUGUCGAUUAUUUUCAAGAUUUAUUAACGGGAGAUGCCAGUCAGUUUCAGCAGACGGACUUCGAAGUUAUUCCAUCUCUUGUGUCUGUAGAGGAUGAUGUAGAGUUAUGUAGAGAGCCGGAUAUGGAUGAGAUUAGACAUGCGGUAUUUUCUAUUGAUCCAGAUAGUGCUCCUGGACCGGAUGGUUUUUGUAGCAGAUUCUAUCAGUCGUGUUGGGACAUCAUUUGCCGUGACUUGUUAAAUGUUGUCCUCGAUUAUUUUAGAGGUUCGGCAUGCCCAGAGGUUUCCAAAGUACUUUAUUGGUCUUUCUGCCUAAGAAGGCUUCUCCGGCUUCUUGGGCUGAUUUCCGUCCGAUUAGUCUUUGUAAUGUGAGCAACAAGGUCCUUACUAAGUUGCUUGUCCCAUCUCCUGCCUCACAUUAUUUCUCAUACUUAGAGUGGUUUUGUUCCUGGUCGAGUGAUUCAUGAUAACGUGCUCCUGGUUCAGGAGUUCGUUCACGAUCUCAAUCGCCAUAGUCGAGGGAACAAUGUGGUGCUGAAAUUAGAUAUGGCCAAGGCAUACGACGUAUGUCAUGGCCUUUUAUUAUUCAGAUGAUUCACUGUUUUGGGUUCUCGAAGCGUUGGAUUUCUUUGAUUCGGCGAGCGAUUUACGGUCCUUAGUUUUCAGUGCUUAUGAACGGGGUCAGUAACAUAUAUUUCUAGUCCCAGAGUGGUCUUUGGCAGGGUGAUCCCCUUUCCCCUUGCUUAUUUAUUAUUGCUGCAGAAUUUUUAUCUCGAGGCUUGGAUCAUUUGUAUUCUCAGUAUCCCUCUGUUCGGUAUUGUUAUACUGCACCUACUUCUAUCUCCCACUUGAGUUUUGCGGAUGGUAUUGUUAUUUUUGCAAAUGAGAGCCGAUCUAGCUUACAGUGGCUUGUGGAUUUCUUACACCAUUAUAAGGUGAUCUCAGGGCAGUUGAUUAGCGAGGACAAGAGUAACUUCUACAUUAGGAAGUCAGCUUCGACCUCCCGCUAGGCCAUUGUUCACUCUGUGACUAGCUUUCAGUGACGUCAGCUUCCGUUUACUAAUCUUGGGUGCCUGAUCUUUACAGGGUACCUCAAGAUCUCCUAUUUUGAUGACAUGGUCCGGAAGGUCAAGGAUAAGAUUUCUGGCUGGGCUAACCGUCUGCUUUCCUUUGGUGGGAACCUCGUCCUCAUUCGCCAUGUGUUAUCCUCUAUGGCCCUGCACUUAUUUCACGUCCUCCGCCCUUUUAUAACGGUAGUUUAACGCCUAGAGCGAUUGUUCACCCGAUUCCUAUGGGGUGAUUUUGAGGGAAGACACCAGAUCCACUAGUGUAGAUGGCCAAAGGUUUAUUAUCCAGUUGACGAGGGUGGCCUCGAUAUACGAUCUUUUGAUGAUAUGGCGGAGGCUUUUGAGAUUAAACUUUGGUGGCGGUUUUGUCAGCAGAGUUCCUAUAUGAAGUCUAAGUAUUGCAGAUCUACGCAACCAAGCCUUAUCCAGUUUCGCUAUCUUGCCUCUCCUUUAUGGAGACACCUUUAUAAGAUUCGUUGCACGGCUAAACCUCAUGUGCGUUGGCUCGUUGGGAGUGGAGAUUGUAGCUUCUGAUAUGAUUGUUGGCUGAGUUCUUGCCCUUUAUUUUUUUAUAACCCUACAGCGGCUUUGUCGGUGCCGGUCUAGUUCUUUGGCAGGGUACAAUCUGGGACAGAGGCAAACUAAGGGACGUCUUGCCUUCAUCUAUUGUUGAGCAGAUCCUAUUAGUGCCUAUUUCUAGUGGGAAUCCAGACCUGAUUCGUUAGGACCUUGCCCCCGACGACACGUUUAACUUGCGGACUGCUUGGGAGCUUGUACAGUGCUCUAGGUCGAGGGAUGAGCUUUUCUCGAUGAUUUAGUAGAGGCAUAUCCUGUCACGAGUUUCCUUUUUUCUCUGGCAGCUACUUCACGGAUUCCUAGCUACUGAUGAUGCCUUAUACUUGAGGGGUUUCUAUAUGGUUUCUCGAUGUAUUUGUGGGCGGGUUGCUGAGACUUCUCGGCAACUUUUUAUGGAUUGCCCGCGGGCCCGUCAUAUUUGGGUUCAUUGCCAGCGGAUCAUGGGGAUGCGUGAGCUUUAUUUUCUGUCUCCCCGUGCUUUGCUUUUAUUUUGGAGACAUUGUGCCCCUUCUCGGAAUCAUCAUCGGGUCCUUCUGCCUUACUUCAUUUUGUGGCAAAUUUGGAAGGCCCUAAAUGCUUUCCAGUUUCAUUCACAGUCUUUCUCCACUGAUGCGGUUAUCUUUCAGGUCGACUCUGAUCUCAGGCUCGCUAGUUCUGCUUUUGGAUUCAAGCCUCCCCAACUGAGGGGAGUCUUGGGUUCUCGUAUUGCGGAGGGCUUGCGAGUUAUGGCUCCCCCUAGGAGGUCGAUUCGUCUAGUUGCUUGGAUGAGGCCAACUUCAGGGGUGGCUAAGCUGACUGUGGAUGGUUGCUCUGGGGUCAACCUUGGGAUGGCUGCUUCCAGGGGUAUUCUUCGGGAUCACCGGGGCAUGGUUUUAGCGGCUUUUGGAUCCUUUUUGGGUUACAAGCCGAUCUUAUAUGCUGAGCUCAUGGCGGUGUGCGAGGGUUUGGAGCUUGCCAUUCAGCUUGGGUACUCAGUGCUCGAGGUUGAGUCAGACUCGGCUAUGGUGAUGUCAUGGAUUCACACCUCAGGGUCCUGUUCGAUGGGAAUGUUCUUAUUCUCUACGCCGGGUGUGCCGUCUGGUAACGUCAUUCCCCAUUCAGGUGAGACAUGUUCUUCGCGAGGCUACUUAUGCUGCUGAUUUUCUAGCCAACUGGGCGCGCACUCAUCGGACUAGCCGGUGUUUCUUAUCUCCUCGAGAGCUUCCCAAAGGCUUAUCUGGUAUUCUUUACUUAGAUCCCCACGCAAUCCCCCAUGUCAGAUGUUAGGAUUUUAUCUUUUUCUUAUAUCUCAUUUUCUCUAGGAGGUUUUGGCUUAUAUCCCCCUCCUUUAUAUCUAAUUCAUUUUCAGAUUUAUAUUAUAGGUAAGGGUUCCGCCUAGCUCCCACCACUCUGGUGGUUUUAAAAAAAAAAAAAAACAAUGGCAUAAAAUGCCUGUGAUAAUGAAACAAUGUGCCAUCCUUAAACUAAUAUCAUUACAAACUACAAGUGAAAGUUUUUGGAAAACAUUGAGAAGUUUUUCUCGGAAUUUGUUUUCUUCUUUGCUUUGAUUUAAGCGUAAAUUUUUAAAAUCCGUAACAAAACAAAAAUUUACAUGGGUUGGGCGCACCUUGUGGUUCGUGCAUGCUUUCGUCUAAUAGUAUUUGAUACAUACAAAUUCAUUUUAAAAUUGACGAAUCGUAAUAAAAAAAUUUAUAUAUAAUAAUUGAGUGAGAUCCAUGGUUCACAAUUGCAAAUUAAUGGUUGGUUUUAUAAUAAAAAUCUUUAUGUACAUACCAAAUUAGAAAAGGUUAUAAGUGAAUUAAGAUUUUCAAAAUUUGACUCGUAUUAUAUUAUGUACGUCAAUAUAAUAUAAAUUUGUUAUAUAUAUAUAUAUAUAUAUCCAAUGCUUUCAAAAACUUUAUACUUGUUUGAACAGAUUUUUUGCUUUCUAUUUGUAUACACAAACACUUUUUUAGGACACAUGUAUAAUUAAUCUUAAUAAUUCUUAUACAAUCCUCUAUUUAAGACCAGCAACGUCACCCAUUAUAAUUUAUCACUAAAUAUUGUAAAACUAUUGGUUUUCACGAAUAACUAAUAAAAAUUAUUUUUUUUGUAAGAAAAAUACUGCGAUUCCUUUCACUGUUGUAGUAGUAUAGUUAUCGUGGACGAUGAAUUUCUAGUAUUGUACAAUGAUAUUUAUGUUGAAUGUUUAGGGAAUGAAAUAGGGUGACCAAGAUAAAGGGGUUUGCUCAUACAUUAUCGUGCUCUCCUCAAAGCAAAAGUGAGCAAAUGGUUGAGCAGAUCAUCUCGACCAGAAUAAUAUGUGGUGACCUCGAGUACAGCACCUCGACCAGGAUGUUAUUGGUCACCUCGACCAGGAUGUUAUUGGUCACCUCGACUAGGAUGUUAUUGGUCACCUCGACCAGGAAGUCACCAGGAAGCACGUCAUCCGCGAGGCCAAUUUCCUGUAAGAAGCAUAAAGCCAUUCCUGCUGCAUUCUUGCUAAGGGUUGAUUCGAGGAGACCCGGUCAACGACAGUUGGCGAGGCAUGCUCUCCAGCCCGAGAAUCUAGGCACGAAGGCCACGCAACCACCCAUGACUACGGAAAUGGGGAAUCCACAUUCGAGAGGUGGGAGGACAACGGACAUAGACUGCGGAAAACUGGGAUUCAGAGGAAGCCUAUAAAAAGGUAGCCAACGAAGGUAAAAGGGUUAGCAAUUUUGAGAUUAGAAGAGAGCUAAAGAAAUUCUAAAGAAGAGAAAACUAUGAAAAAGCCAUAAGAUCUGUGGCAAGCGUUCCCCGAACCUUCAUAUCUGACUUGAGCGUCGGAGGGUUUGCGCCGGGAAAACAACCGGCGUACUCUGACUUGUCUGUGUGCGCAGGAACCUCUGGAGAAGAAGCCUUACGAGGAGACCUUCUGGUCGUGGUGAAGUUGAUCGAGCAGAGAUCCUGGUCGUAUAACGAGGAGAACCAGAAUCUCGCAUCAACAUUUUGGCGCUGUCUGUGGGGAAUGGUACAAAAAGCCAGCUUGUUAUCUUUAUCAAUCUUCAUCUGGCCGAAGUGAAGGCAGAAUAUUGCGGUGCAUAAAUGGAUGAGCUUGCUUAAACAAGGAAGCAAAAACCUUAAAGGAGAGCACAUUGAAAGCACACGUUUGUAAAAAUCAGAACAGGUCAGAAGUUAAAUUCUUAUUUACAAGCAAUUUUUUCAUGAAAAUUUAAUUAUUUCUCUAAAUCCUGCUAUGUGAGAUGAGGAGCCCUUAUAUUCAUUAAAUUGAUUGUGCUCAUAUUAAGGCUGACUGUAUAACUUAGUUAACUUGAUUUCUUGAAAGCUAUUCAAUAUGAGAAUGAUUUAAGAAAAUAGAGCUAGGCUAGCGUUGAGAAACCAAUCAAAGCUUACUAAUAAGGCAUGCAAAGGCUCCAAAGUCUCAAAGCCUGUCUUAUGGCGAGACAGAAGCCAAGCGUGCCAGGAUCUGCUCGACCACGAGAAGGCGAGUAGAAUCCCAAUCCUUGAAGAAUUUGAAGGCAUGCAAAGGCUCACCAAGUCUCAAAGCAUGUCUUAUGGCGAGACAGAAGCCAAGCGUGCCAGGAUCUGCUCGACCACGAGAAGGCGAGCAGAAUCUCAAUCCUUGAAGAAUUAAAGGCACGCAAAGGCUCAUCAAAGUCUCAAAGCCUGUCUUAUGGCGAGACCAGAAGCCAAGCGUGCUAGGAUCUGCUCAACCAAGCGAAGGCAAGCAGACUCCCAAAUGUUGUAAAAAUUCCUAAGGCAUGCAAAGGCUCACCAAAGUCUCAAAGUCUGUUUAUGGCGAGACCAGAAGCCAAGCGUGCCAGGAUCUGCUCAACUAAGCGAAGACGAGCAGACCACCAAACUUUCAAAAAAUUCCUAGGGCGUGCAAAGGCUCCAAAGUCUCAAAGCCUGUUUUAUGGCGAGACAGAAAGCCAAGCAUACCAGGAUCUGCUCAACCAAGCGAAGACGAGCAGACCACUAAAGUUUCCAGUCUUGAUUCGUUUCACUCUCAAUACUAGAAACUGGGGGACUGGUGUUUAGGGAAUGAAAUAGGGUGACCAAGAUAAAUGGGUUUGCUCAUACAUUAUCGUGCUCUCCUCAAAGUAAAAGUGAGCAAAUGGUUGAGCAGAUCAUCUCGACCAGAAUAAUAUGUGGUGACCUCGAGUACAGCACCUCGACCAGGAUGUUAUUGGUCACCUCGACCAGGAAGUCACCAGGAAGCACGUCAUCCGCGAGGCCAAUUUCCUGUAAGAAGCAUAAAGCCAUUCCUGCUGCAUUCUUGCUAAGGGUUGAUUCGAGGAGACCCGGUCAACGACAGUUGGCGAGGCAUGCUCUCCAGCCCGAGAAUCUAGGCACGAAGGCCACGCAACCACCCACGACUACGGAAAUGGGGAAUCCACGUUCGAGAGGUGGGAGGACAACGGACAUAGACUGCGGAAAACUGGGAUUCAGAGGAAGCCUAUAAAAAGGUAGCCAACGAAGGUAAAAGGGUUAGCAAUUUUGAGAUUAGAAGAGAGCUAAAGAAAUUCUAAAGAAGAGAAAACUACGAAAAAGCCAUAAGAUCUGUGGCAAGCGUUCCCCGAACCUUCAUAUCUGACUUGAGCGUCGGAGGGUUUGCGCCGGGAAAACAACCGGCGUACUCUGACUUGUCUGUGUGCGCAAGAACCUCUGGAGAAGAAGCCUUACGAGGAGACCUUCUGGUCGUGGUGAAGUUGAUCGAGCAGAGAUACUGGUCGUAUAACGAGGAGAACCAGAAUCUCGCAUCAACAUUGAAUAUAACGCUUCAAUGAAUUUUAUUACUAUAUACUAAAAUACUCAACGAUCUUCAUUAAAAAAAAAAAAAUUGCAUGAUUAGAAUGAUUAAAGUUCAUCUAAUGACUAGUUUCAUCAUUGACUCUGUCGAAACACAGCAGCAAUCCAGAAUACAUUUAACACGAGAGGCGCAGACAAACAUGCAUGAUGAAUCUUCCACCAUUAAACCUGAAAUCAUAAAAUGAAAGAAACCAGAUGAGUGUUGUUUGUCUGAAAGCCGAUUCGAGAAAAAUAAUAAUAAUAAUAGACCUUUGUUAAUAAUUAAUACUAGUUGUCACUACCUUGUGCAUCUUCCUCCUCUGUAUCAUCGUCCUCUUCCAAUCACACCGCAAGACCAGUAUAUCUCGAGAAUCUUUACUGCCUUCUCACAGAUCCCAUUGCUGUCAUGUCUUUUUAGAUCUUCAAUCAUUUUGAAUCCCUCAGCCGCCUCCACCAACCGUGCAUAAUGAUUAAAAUAUCUAUUGGCGGUACCCGUAUUCAUUUCAGCUUCCCCGACCUUCAAAAUGUUCUCUAAUCCUUUUAAGCAAAUAGUGACGAUCUCUGGAUCAGCGUAUAGAAGGAGAUCACACAAUGGUUUUAUACACCCCUUUCUCACGAGGUACUUGAUUUGCUCAUGAGUACCACCUGAGAUGGCAUUUGAAAUUGCCCGAGCGGCCUCCUUCUUUGUAAAAAAUUCAGCAUUUUGAAGCAGAUCGACAAGGGGACCAAUUACGCCAGCAUCAAUUACCACCUGAAUCUGUUCCCUGUUACCAGCUGUAAUAUUUGAAAUAGUCCUGCAUGCCUCUUUCGCAAUGCCUGUACACUGAGUCAGGAAACCAUCUCCCUUCACAAUAUAUCUGACAGUCCACAGGGGAGGAGUGAGCCCGAAGGGGAAGGGUAAUGGAUGAAGAAGGAGCUUAACAAGUCGUGGACAGACAUCUGCCUCGAUCACAGCUUGAAUUUUGUCAUUCGUACCAUCAGAUAGACAGGAUAGUGCCUCGCAGGCAUAUCUCAAGACAUCGUUGUCAUUUGAAUGAACAAGUUGUGCAAGCGCAGGAAGAGCUGGCCUCACCUGAUCAAAUGGUGGCUCUGGCUUGCCCUGGCAAAAACGAGACAAUGUCUUUGUGGCAUUUCUUAGCAUUGAAGGCUUAGCAUGCUUAUUUAACUGUGCCAGCAACGGAAUCAAAGCUUUUUCACUGAGCACAAGAUCACGGUCUCUAGGUGAGCUACGAGCAAUAUUUCCCAGUGCCCAAACAGCCUUCUCUCGGACAUCAUCACUUGGAGAAGAAAGUAGCUUCACAAAUAUUGGAACAGCACCGCCGUCGAUCACCACAUUAGUAUUCUCAGAAGCAAUGUUUGUAAGAGCCCGAGCAGCUUCCAACUGAAGCUGCGGAUUGUCUUCCCUAGUAAGAAACUCAACAAAGCGCGCGACAACGCCAGAUUGUAUGACUUUCUCACUUGGUGGUAGGAGCAGUUUUCGGAACCAAGUAGUUGCUUCCAGCUGCAAGCCACUGUCAUCUGACCAAACCCCAGCAAGCAUCCCGGGUAAACUCACCAACUUAUUUUAGGAGCAGGAGCAGGAGGAGGAAAUUAAGUUAGGGAUUUAGAGUGAGAGUGAAGGUGGAGAAAAAGCAAGAGAGGGAAAAAGCUUAUUGUUGAGAAAUAUGUACCUUUUGUAUGGUUGUGUUAAGGUCGUCCUUCCAAGCCCAACAUGCUUCACCAUGCCGCUCCACUUUGUGUAAUUUGGGUGUACUUAAUUUUCCUUCAGAGAAAAUCUUCAUAUCGGGGCAAUCAUCCACCACUAAUCUUUCUAAAGAUGGGAACUUGAAAGCACAAUUGCCAGAGCAGAAGCUUGUCAGGCUUUCUAAGUCUACAAGCUUCAACUCCUUCAAUUCUCUGAAAGUAAUAACCUCAUCUUUUGCUACAACAUCAUCCCCCAGUACUAUUUCUGUUAUCCUAUCGCAUGAUUUUAUCUUCAUAUAUCUAAGUUGCACCAGAGUCUUUGCAAUUAAGGAUGUUAAUACGAUUUUCAAGUUGUUGCAACGCGAUACCACCAUAUUUGUAAGAUUCUGAAAGGAUGUCGACGGUGGCACUAGAUUGACUAAAUGGUCACACCCCUUUACACGUAGAAUAACCAAGUUGUUCGUAACAGAGGACUCCCUUAUCAAAAUGUGCUCCAGAUGAAAUGCUUCUCUUAUUUCUACCCACAUCCCAUUUUCAACCUUCUCAUACGGCAACGAGGCACUAUAUCCUCCUAUUUGGAGGACUUUCAUUGUGUGAAGUCUCUGGAGGAAGUCACCAAGUGAUAAAAUAGUCCGCUCAUCACCCAACGCCACAAAAAGAUAUUUUAGUUUGCAAAGCAAGCCUUCAGAAAAUAGAUAUUUAUUUGUUACUGUGUACUUUGCACGAACUAUCAACUUUUCCAAAUUAGGGAAUACCUGGGAGAACGAUCAGAACCCCAAAAAAAAGAAAAAAAAGAAAUACAAGAUGAAUCAAUUGAUAAGAAAUAUAAGUUGCCACUAAUUUAUACAAUAUAUUUUAUUCAAUAAAUCUUAACCUUUAAAAAAAAAUAGUAAUAAUAGUAUGCCUAACAUCUAGAAUAAUUAUGAAUGAAUACUAUACACUAAUCUGUAAGAGAGUUACGUUGCUGACAAUUUGAGUUUUAGUAAGAAACCAAGCGAUGAAGGCAAAGGCAAUAUAACUCUAAACUCUAUGAUAUAAACUCUCACAGUACAUACAUAAGAAUUGAAAAAUUGAUUAUAAAAUUCUUGUACGUACCCUUUCCGUGAAGAUACUAGUAGUUCUCACCAUGAAUUCAGGACAUUUAGAUAUCCGUAAUUCUUUCAAGGAUGGAAAUUCAAGAAUAUCAAGAUCUCCAGUGCAGAAGCUUGUGAACUUUUCAAGAUCAGACAUCUUCAGAUAUUGCAACUGAGGAAACAUUACAAUAUUUUUCUUCCUUUCUUCUUGGUUGUCCAUAACUAUUAACUCUUCCAAGACAGGACAUCCGACUAUCUCAAUGCAUUGGAGUUGAACAAAGCUACUAACGGUAGAAGAUGAAAAUAGACAUCUUAAAUUCAUACAGCAGGACAGGGUCAAGCGCGUUAAAUUCUGAAUACCACAAGACAUGACUGCAACUUGGUUUUGCCAAAUCCUUUCAACAUUUAUUGAAAGCAAAUGCAACUUCUCUAACUCUGGUAACCGAACCUGCUCGAUCAAAAAAUUAACUCGUUAAUUACAAGCAACAAUGAUUUCUGUUGAUGGACAAAUCAAUAAAAUUACUCUUUCUCUGGUUAUAGUUCUUUUCAGUUUUUCAUACAAACAACCGUUAAUCAAGUUUUCCAAAUUAUUCCUUACUAAAUGUAUAGAUUUAGACGGCGGCUAAUAUAAUUCAUAUUGCAAAUAUUCUUUGAUUGUAACGAAUUUUGUAAUAUUAAAUUUUGGCUGAUUCGCAAUAGGACCUACUAUCCAGCGCGAGCAGUUCUCGUGGAUUUAACUACUGGCACCUCGAUUAUAUAAAAAUUUGGAAUAUUUUCAAAGGAAAUCACAUAAUUUCCCCUUGCAAAUAGUAAUUAUCAUUAAUUGCCGCGGGUUGACAUAUAAUUCUAAGAAAUUAGGCGAGAAGAGUCUCAUCAACAAUCAAUCAGCAGAUAUCACGUUUGGCAGAUCAUCAUGAUUUCCUCAUAUGCUAGAGAAUCAACGUGAUUUCCGCUCAUGCAGGAGCAGGAGUGGACACAUUAUCUUAGAGCAUCCCUCACUGAGAUCUUUUAAAAAAUUUAUAUUAUAAAGUGAACAACAUAUUAAGUAUAGAUUUAGACGGCGGCUAAUAUAAGUUAUAUGUAUUCUAAUGACGUAUAUUAAAGAAAAUGACUAACCAUAAUUUCAAUCAACUUAUUAGUCUAUAUAUAUAUAUAUAUAUAUAUAUAUAUAUAUAAUAUAAUAUAUUCAGUGAUUACAACAUAUUUAGUAUUCCAUAACAUGAAGUUUAUAAUAAUAAUUAUUAUUAAUUCACUUAUUGUGUCAAGAACAUUUUCUUUCUCUAAGAAUGAAUUUGUUACACCCUACUAUACUACGGAUGAAAAAUUUAGAAUCAUUAUGAAAUAUAAUUAUUAAUCACUCUUUGCCAUAUUUGCGACCAAAGAAGAAUAUAACAAAGAAAAGAAACAAAAAUUAUAGAGAAUUAAUGAGACCAUUGACGUAUUAAUAACUGACCUUCCCAGUGAAACGCGUAUUAGAAAUUUGGAUAUUGUCCUCCAAAAUGAUUUGAUGUGACUGCAAAUCAUUAGCUGAUUCCUGUUGUCUCUGUUGACAUUGAGUGUAAACUUAAUUGUGAGCACAAUCUUAAUGCAUAGAUACAAGAUCUUUAAAAAUUAGUAUAAUAAACUUAGCACAAAAUCCAAAUUUGAUAUUUCGGAUUCCAUGAUUAAGAUUUUUUAAAUAAAAAUUUAAUAGAGUUAAUUUAAAAAUAAAAAUUAAAUAUGAAAAAUUAGAUUUGCAAUUAUGGAUUUAAUUUUGAUAAAUAAUGAAUGUUCUCUUUAUAUUUUUUUUUAAAGGUAAAACAGCGUACAAAGCCCAAAUUCAUUUUUUUAGUCCCUUACUCUCCCAUGAUUCAAACUUGGGUGGUUGUAGGGGGACUGAAAAUAUAUAAGACAGUUAACUUCACUUUUUUUUUUUUUUUUUUGAGAGAAAAGAGAAGAAGGAUAUUACAAAGCACGAAGCUCGUGCAAUAUAAGGGCAAUUAUGGUUUUUUCUUUAAAUUAAAAUGGUAAGAUUCUGAAGCUAAAAGAUUAAAAUAUUAAUUAAAUUGCAAACAUUAAAGAUUUUUUUUCCAAAAUUGGUUGCUUUGAAAAUGAGAAUAAUAUAAUGUUUGAAGACUUUUCAAAAUUAAUUACUGUGAUGCACUAGAAAUUUCUAGCUUUAGUCUAAUGUAUAAAUUGACAAAACGUAUUAGAAUCCCAGGUGAAAAGAACCCUCUCACACCAAUUAUUUAAAUUAGGAAUGAUCAUACCUGUGGCUCUGCCGAACUGAGGGCGAGGCCUGAACCCCUCAUCUCGAGACGCUUGAGAUGGGAAGAGCCCACUUUGACUAAUUCAUUACGAAAAUAAUCGACAUCUUGCUCUUGCAAUCCACAUAACUCUAGGUCUUCAAUUCUCUGCAGUUGCACGACUAGCGAAUCCUUCAAGCGAAUCUGGUCAUAUAGCUCGAGUCUGAAUUCACGACCCCAAAUGCCGGUGCUCCCCCAAAACCGACCUCCAAUGCUUAUUCUGUACCUUUCCAGCUUCUCCAAGAACAGGCCUCUGGGCAGAGUGCUGACGUCAUGGGUGUCUAAUUCCAAAGAGGUCAAGUUGGGCAAAUGCUUCAACUCCUCAAGGCUUGCAUUCUUAACCCCUUCCACCUCCACCUCCCAAUUAUGAAAGCUUUUAGGACCUAUAUAUAGUUCUUCUAAAUGGGAUAAUUUUGACAGUAUAUUUGGUGGAAUAACUUCUGGUCCCCAACAAUCCCUCAAAUCAAGCAACUUUAGCCAAGUCAAUUCACCUACUUCUACCGGCAACUUAUUAAUAUAAGAACCUCUUAAGCAAAGGAUUUCUAGUUUCUUCAAGCCUCCUACAACACUUAUAUCGGGCAAGAUGAAGCCGCACAAACUCAGUGUUCGAAGGUUUGACAGGAGACCAAGUGAUGAAGGCAGUGACCGUAGAAACAUGCCAGUCAAGUUGACAACUCUGACCUGCAUCAUCCUCUCGAAAAAGUUGUUUGGAAUUGUUAAUGAUGAAAAUUCCCAACGAUCAGCACGUAUAAAAAGAAGUUCGAGCUGAGGACAUUCCAGUACUUCAGGAAGCAAAUUAUUCUUGAUACCAUGUAAGACGAUUGAAGUGCAAUGCUUUAUUGCACUUCCGUCUGACCAUUCCCUGCAACCAUCAACCUGCUCAUUUGUAGCAGUAAACACAUUUCGUUCAGUAGAUGCAAUUGAUAUGGCGACAUCGCGAACUACAUCAUGCAUAGAAAACAACUCUUUCUUCUGGCUUAUAUGGUCAAGCAACAUACAAGAAGCUUUGAGUGUGCGCACCAAUGUAUGUACUCGAUUUCGUGCUACUUCAAUCUUAUUCACACCUUGAAAUAAACCCAAUCCCAUACCACACAUUAACAAGUCAUCAAUAGAUGUUAUGGCUGUAUAUCCUAUUAGCAAAAAGAUGUUCUUGAGAUCAUCCCUUCCUAGUUUAUUGUAGCUCAACUCGAUAGCAUUAAAUGCGGCUGGCUGUACAUCCUUAAAAUUCGAUGAAGAAGGCCUUCUUAGCUGUUCCAAUGCAUCCUUCCAUUCACGUAUGCUCUUGCUCCUUAAUGCCCUUGCAACCGUCACAAUGGAAACUGGUAGACCUGCACAUUCCUUUGCCACAUCCCUUGCUACCUCUUUCAAUUCAUUAUCUUCAACAUAAUCACCUGCCAUCUUCGUGAAUAGACUCCAAGCUUCAUCUUCUUUUAAAAAUCCAACUGGGAAAUUUUUUCGAGACUCCAUCUCUCCAGACAAUACUUCUUCACUCCUUGCCGUGAACAGCACUUUACAUCCCAUGUGAUCAUCUCCGUGAGGAAUUCCGACAUCCAACAAAUCAAGAUUUUCCCAAAUAUUAUCCAAGAUUACAAGGAUCCUCUUCUCUUUCUUCAGUCGAUCAUAGAGUCUUCUUGCCCUACCCGAUUCACUCUCCUCAUCAAAUUUUAGACCUAGUUUAUCCGCCAUUUCUCCUUGAAUCUUUCUUACGUCUCGACUCUCAGACACCUCAGAAAAAACCACCUGAUCGAAAAGUUUGUCACACUCUGCUUUUCUAGCAACUUCUUUAGCUAGCGUCGUCUUUCCGAUUCCGCCCAUUCCAUAAAUCAAAAGCAUGUUGACAUUGGGAUUUUUUAAUGCAUCAAUUAUUUCAUUCAGAAUGGACGUUCUUGAUUCAAAGGCCUCGAAGUCUUUGUUAGGCAUAAGCAAGGUAUCCUCCGGAAUGAUGCUGUAGGAAAUACUAUUAACUGGUCUAGCGUCCAGGACUUUGACAACAGCCUCCUUCUGCCUCUCUGCUUCCUUGCUAAGUCGAGGGCGGGUCUUCAAAUUAGGACAUAACCCCUUGAAACAACGCUUAUUUGCAGUGGCUUCAUCUUCUGUAAAUUUAUCUGCCUCUUCAAUGACACUGUUGGCCGUUGCAAGCCAAUUCUCAACGUUCUCUUCAAUCUCUUCUCCUUUUCUUUUAGCCUCAUCAACCUGGUGCUCUGUAUUCACCCUCUCAGACUUUAGUUUCACAACUUCAGUGUUGAGAUUCUGUAAGUUGCUCGUGUACUUACUCUCACGCAAAUAGCUAAUUUGGCGAUAUGCGUGAGGAGCCAAGCACUUUGCAACUUCUGAAGCAAUAGUAAGAAUGAUUUCAGCCAUCUUCAGUCCUUUGUCCUUGUCUCUCUAUCUCUCUUUUUCUGAAUUUUGGAAAAACAAUUCAACCAAGUGACCACAACAAGAUGGAACAAAAUAAAAAGGAAAAAAAAUACAAAGAGUGGAUGGAGAAUAAAACAGAGACAGCGGCACAGCUAGACACAACUAGAUAGAGAACAGAGGAAAACCAAAUAACAAGACUUAAGAUUACAACAAACAGAGGCCAAGUAUUGUUGAGAUCAGAAGAUGGAAAAUUCAAAAGAGUUGAUGGCAGAUGCUGAAUAACAGAACAACAAUGAACGCAAUAAACAGAAGCAAAGUGUGUUUGUGAUCGACAGACGGAAGUAAGGAAAAGCGGUUGUUGAUUGAAAAUGAAUGAAUGCAAAGAAAGACUGAUGUUAAAAAUUGAUGUCAAUAGCGAAGGAAUAAUUGAACUUUCGCUGAAUUAUUGUUUGUGGCUUCUUUUACUGUUUAUUUGUGGGUCAUGUCUUUUGGAACUAAUCUUGUCCAAAAAAUGUUGUUUAUUUGUGGGUCAUGUUAUUCAGCAUCUGCCAUCAACUCUUUUGUUUAUUUAUUCAAAAAAUAAAUUGUAAUUAUUUGUUAAUGUAUGCGAUUACUUGUGAUGGUAAACAAAGUAGAUAUGGUAUAUUUUGAAGUUAAAUUAAAAAAAAAAAAACCAGAGCUUUUACCAUUACUUGUCUUAUCAUCUUUUAAAUUAGAGUUAUUAUUCUUUUAUUUUUCAAGUUGCCAACUCAUCCGCAUUCUCUUUUAUUGAAUUUAAAGAUCAGUGAUUAUAAAUUUGUGUAAAAAUUUUAAGUCAAAACUUUAAAUUAAAAUAAUCUCUAAGUUAUAGGGAAAUAAUAACUUAGUAUAACAAAUAUUAUUUCCUAUACUUUAUUGAUACAAAAUUACAAAAUCUUAUAGUUUCAAAAAUAAAAAUUACGAAACCUUAUAUUAUAUUAUGUUUCCCUAUUUCCCCUUUAUAGUGAAGACUCAUACUUCUUCUCUAAUAAAUGCUAAAGUAUUGGCUUAAUUUUUUUAACCAGCAUAGUAGACCCUUAAGCUAUAUAUACUAUAAUGUCCCUCUUCUCUCACAGAUUAAACCAAUCUGAUCUCAGAGUGAGUUGAUAUCAUGACUUUGCAUCAUUCGUGAUCAAAGGAGUAUCAUUACUAACUAAUAUAGGCUCCAUCAAUAGGCAUGAUAAUAAUUUUUUUUUAUCUACAAACAUUGUUUUUCAAAAUAUUAUAUCUUAAGACUUAACUAAAUAUUUUUUUAACUAUGUAGAUAUAGUUUGUUUGAUCUCUUUUAAAUAGUGGAGAUUACAAACAAACAUAUGCGAAUUAGUAGUGAUGUUGAGUACAGAAGCUUGAAGUUAAAAAAAUUAAGGGUUUCUUGAUCUAGAGAGAUUUCAAAUGAGUGAAGCGUCCUCGAAAUCGGAAGACGAAAAUAAGGAAAGGGUAAGGGUGUAUUUUCAAAAUGAUUCUAUUAGGAGAUCUUUGAAGUAGGGGCGGGCAAGUCGGGUUUCGGUUCGAGUUGUUCAAGUUUCGGUUUGGGUUUCAACCUAAUCAGGUUUGAGAAUUAAACCCAAUCGGGUUGAAAACGCCAACCCAAACUAAACCGAACCGAAUUUAAUUUAGUUCGGGUUCAUAAUUCGGAUCGGACUGGGUUGAUAACUCAUGUUAAAAUUUCGGUUCGGGUUAAUUUGGGUUAGAAUAAUUCAAUCUAAAAUUUUGGGUUAGUUUGGUUUAAAACGGGUUGGAACAAUUUAAUCCAAAAAUUCUACCAACAACCACUUAAAAUCCAAAAAUCUCAAUUCCAAACAUCCUUAACAACAAAUAUUAACUACAAACCAUCCUUGACAACAUUUCAACAAUAACAAUAACAAUAAUAACAACAACAAUAAUGAUAAUAAUAACAACAACUAUGAAUCAGCAAUUCAGCAUAUUGCCAUAUUCUAAAUUUUAAAAAACACACAAAUUAUUUAAUUAAUUAAUUAAUUAACAAUCUCCAAUUUAAUUUAUAAUAACAGCAAAAAUCCUCUCCAAUUUAAUUAAUAACAGUCUCCAAUUGUUCAAUUAUCAGUCAACAGCAACAAAUCCACUCCAAUUGUUCAAUGAACAGAUGUGGAUUAGUAGAGUUGUUGAGUUCAGAAGAUUGAAGUUAACAAAGGGUUUCUUGAUCUAGAGAAAAUUCGAAAGAGCGAAGUGUCUUCGAGAUCAAAAGACAAAAUAAGGAAAGGGUAAGGUUAUACUUUGAAAAUGAAUCUGUUGAGAGAUCUUUGAAGAUUACUUCCGUUAAGAGCUGGAUCCCACACUUGAGUCUUCGUCGUCUCAGUCAGUCAGCUGUAAAGUCAGUCAGCUAUAAAGACAAAUUAAUUUUGAGUGUGAAAGGACACAAUUGAUCACCAAAUUUUCAAACUCGGGAUCCUUAUUGAAUCUACAUUCCCAUUUGAAAAAUAAUAAAAGAUUAACAUUAAUUUAACUUCAUCUAGAUUCCCAUUUGAAUCUGCAUUCCCAUUCCCUUGUUCUCUGGGAAUGCACAUAAUCAAACAAAAUCCUAUCCGCAUUUUCAAACUCGUGACCCUUCAAUCUUUCUAUGACAACUAUAAUGAAUGAUUACAACAAUGCUACCUAAUAGUGAGCAACUUGUUUGAUGAAAUUAACAGCUUCUUUUCUCUCAUGUAUUUUUUAAAAAUUAAAUUACCAAAGUUUUUAUUUCAAAAUUAGUGCUAUAGUUCAUUAAUUUUUCAAAAUUUCCUUUUUCUUUCCACACAACAAAUUGAUUUGCCCUCCAAAAAAUGUAUUAUAUUGUUUAUAUUGUAACUUCAAGAAACUUAUAAUAAAAUUUUAAUGAGAUAAAUAGAGAAUGUCAGUCUCCCAUCUACUCAAAAUUAAUAUAUAUCAUUAACUCUUGAUUAUUUUUAUAAUAACUAAUAACUUUCUUGGCAGCAUAAUUUUACAGUAUCAUCCUUGUUUGUAAGUAUAUUUUUAUUUAUAUUUAUUAUAAAUUAAUUAAAUCAUAUCAAUGAAAAUUGAAAUAAAAAUUGAAGCACUAAAAAUUAAAAAAAUAUGUUUUGGUGUGAAUAAAAAAUUGAAAAUAAAAAUAUUUUUCUUAUAUUUUUAAAUUUUUUUCUUGUAGUAAAUGCAUAUUUUAUAUGCUCAACUUUUUCUUUAAAUUUUUGUUAUUAGGAGGAAUUUUAGAUAUAAUGAAAAUUGUAAGGUAGUAAGUAAUAUAUAAUAAUUUUAAUAGAAAAAAGUAAAAAUUCUCUUAUUUUAAAAUAUAAGGAGAAAAAAUAAUUAAUUUCAAGACAUUUUAGAAGGUAUUUCAAUAUGCGGUGGACCACAAACUCGAGUCUUUGUCAUCUCAGUCAACUAAAAAGACAGAAUAUUGAGGGCAUGGCUAAGGUGCAGAAGCUGCAAGUAACAGCUUCGAACUUUCCCAUUUCCAUCACCUUGCAUUGGGACCUCCUCUAGCACCCGUGGAAGUUCCCCAUUGGCUACUGUUACUUACAAAAGCUCUAACAUAGACUUCUUCGAAUAUUGAGCGCGAAGGGCUCAAGUGAUUGUUAAUUUCACGGCAAUCGCCUUUUUUUUUUUUUUAAUUAUUGGGAAAUAAUAACUUAGUAUAACAAAUAUUAUAUCCUAUACUUUAUUGCUACAAAAUUACGAAACCUUAUAUUAUAUUAUGUUUCCAUAUUUCUCCUUUAUAGUGAAGACUCAUACUUCUUCUCUACUAAAUGCUAAAGAAUUGGCUUAAACUUUUUAACCAGCAGUAGACCCUUAAGCUAUAUAUACUAUAAUGUCCACUACAAGAAAUCUGACUUUCUAAGACAAAUGUUUUUAUGACAUUUGUAGAUUUUGUCAUAAAAUAAUACUUAUUGUGAUGAUCUUUUAAAAUUGUAGCAAAUAAUCUCGUCCUGGCUCAUGUUAUAUUUUGUAACGAAUAAUAUUCAUUUUAUGACCCAAUAAUUGGUCACUUAAUCAAAUGUUUUGCGACAAAUAUAAAAUUAGCCACAAAAGGACGUACUUUUUUUUAGCACAAAAAAUUCCCUCCAAAAUUGAUCAUUUUUUUUACAAAAUAUCAUCUUUUAUGACAGAAAAUAUGGUAGCGAAAUGUAAUUAUAAGUGACAUAAUUAUUUCGUAACUAAAAGAGGGAUGUAAAAUUGAUCAAACCAUUUGUGACAAAAAAUAUUAGUCUCCAAACCUGAUAUGGUUUUGAUUAAUUUUUAAGACCCUAUUUUUUUUAUCACAGAUAAUUACCGAUUGUGACAAAACUAAAAAAUAAUAGUUUAAAAAUUUUUUCUUGAGUAAUUUUAUAUUUCAUGACCUUUUUUUUUUCAGAGACACUUUAUUUAGUAUUUGAUUCAUAUUUUUUUGGCAAACUUUACAACAAUGACAAAAAACAGAGAAUAAUAAUCAAUAUUUUUAAAUUAUAUUAUAUUUUGUGACCAACAAAUUUUUUAUAUGUAUUUUAUUAAAUAAUUGAUAAGAUAAAAUGUCAAUAAUUUUAUUAAAUAUCAAGAAAAAAGGUAUUUAACUGAUAGGUAUUUUAUUAAAUAAUACAUUUUUCUUUAAAUUUAAUUACGCACAUUAUUUUUUAUCAUGUAGCUUCAUACAAAUUUUGUUUAACUAUGUUAGAUUAAUAAAAAUUAAAAUAAUAGCCUUAAAAUAAUUAACUUAGAUUAUUAAAAAAUGAUAAUAGACUUUUUUUAAACCAAUAAUAACAAACUUAUUAUAGCUUCUUUUUUAUUUUUUUAAAAGAAUCCUAUAAUAAUUAAUUAUGUUGGAUUUACAGAAAGAAUACAUAUUAAAUUGGGUAAAAAUUAAAAUAAAAGAAUAACUAAACUUAAAUAGAACAUAAGUUUCUCUAAUGAAAUCGUGAAAUACAAAUAAAUCCCCUCCCACUGAUUCCCUGGCCAAUUUUGUUGUUAUCCAAACAAAACCAUUUAAUUUCCCCCCACUCUCUCCCAGGCCACUUCACUUUAAUUGGUUUUGUAUUAAAAAACUACCCAUCUUUAUCUUUUGUAAUCCUUUCCAAUUUAUGCGUGUGUGUGUGAAUGAUGAUAACAGAACAAAAACGCAUGGCUAUGGAGGCCACCUCACUUUGCCGCCGCCCAAAAGCACGCCACCCUCACCAGUCCACUCAUGCAUGCCAAAAUCAGCCACUCAGCAAAAUUCACUCUCAUCUCUCGUUCUACUUCGAAAUUGUGAGUAUAUAUAAACUCAGCCAAUUUAAUUUUGAUUAGUUUUGUUGUGAUUGGAUUAUGUGAAAUUCAUAUUUUUGUGUUUGGUAAAAUUAGGGAUUGAAAUUCUUAGAUCUAUUAUUUGAAUAUUUUUAUGCUUAUCAGGUGCUUGAUAAAAUUCCUAAGAGAAUCUAGUAAAAGAAAAACAUAAAAUAUAUGCAAAUAAAUGAAGGAAUUUGAAGCAAAGUUUAGUAGGUUUGGAGAAACUUUUGCAAAAUUAGGAUAUUAAGAUGAAUUUGUUUUUCAAUUUGAGCAGUGGGUUUAGGCGUGCUGAUAUCAGAUUUUUUUUUCCCUAAUAUUCUUUCAUAAGAACUUUCGAAAAUGGGAUCUUUCUAAUUUUUGUUCACUUCAACUUGGUAUGUAAUUAAUCAUCUUUCUUUAUUUUUUUAAAGAUAAUUAUAGCUAGUAUUAAUAUAGUAAAAAGAGUUAAUAAGUUAUUCGAGUCCAGCCGAUAUAAUAAUAAGUUAAGCUACAAACUUUUAAUUAUAAAACACAUGUGUUGGUUGGAAGGACGAUUUUGAAGCUUGGGUUGCUAAAGUUUGCUGAAAAUAUUGUUGGAUUUGCUAGGAAGUGUAGAUGAAGUGACUAAAUAAAGGUCAAAAAGCUUCUUUUUUUCCCCAAGUGGUCGUUGUAUGUUUAGUCAAAAUUAAUAUGCUUAUCUUCUUUUGUAUUGGGAUAACAAAAAAGUAUGGAGAGAGUUUCCUCGAUUUAAGAAAAUGUAUUAGAGUGAGCGAAAAAGGUUCAAGUAGUCUCCAUACAAAAUCUAAAUGUGUAACCUAUCUUAUUUUUAUUUUUUGACUUAAUCUUUUAUUUAUUUCAACUUUAUAUUUAUUGUACUGUAAAUGUUGAUUUAUUGACUGCUUAAUAAUUUAAUUUCGUUCAAGUUUGACACCAACUGUUUAAUCGAUUAAGUUCAGAGCUUUGGAUGUAAAAUUUGUGCAAGUGAAUCAAGGUUGAUUAUGUGCUUGUAAUCUUUUGAUUAUAUUGUUAAUUUGAAGUAAUAAUGAAAGCAAGUAUGUGCUUGUAAUCUCCUGUCUUUCAUUUAGAAUUUUUUCCAUUUUUUUAUUGGAUGAAAGAAUUGAUUGCGGAUAUGUUUCAUUGAGAAUUUAAUUAAUUUUGCAUUCUUACCUAAAUAUUUUUAUUUAUAGCUAUUUGCCUUGCUAUUUACUAUUCUUUCAUUUUGGCAAUAAGAUUUUCUUUUAUAAGAUUAUUCUCCUAUACCAAUUAAGUGUUUUCUCAAGUUUUUUAUUAUUAAUAUUAUUUUUUUAAUCAUGCAAAGACAAAUGAUAGAUAGAGAAAAAUGAUGUACCAAUAAUAGAUGAUCAAAUUGUGAAAUACUUUUGGAAAAAUCUUUAAUUUUAUAAAGAUAAAAAAAUGACAGGUACCUUCAAAGUCAUCUUCUACUACAACAUUGUCUUAGCACAACAAGGAUCAAAAGUUAAAAUCAAGGAAGAAGAUAGCAAAUUUAAGGAAGUUGAAGCAUUCAUGAAACAACAACAUGUUGUUUACUUAAUUGUGCUUGUGUGUAAUGUUACUUUUAUUUUUCUUCUAUGAUGUAAUCUUAUUUUUAGACUAUUGAUUUUUUGCCUUUUUGAUUUUAGAUUUCUUUGUAAUGAAUUAUAUUUAUGUUAAUAAUAUUUUUCACUUCAAAGUUCUUUUGUCAUUAAAUUUUGAAUUCUAUGACUACAUAUUGUUAUUAAAAUUUAUGUGAGACUAUAAAAAUUGUCCUUAAAAUAAAUUUGUGACUAAAUUAAUUACCAAUUGUAUUUGUAAAAAUUGUCACAAAUGAUAACUACUUGAGACGAUUGUGUAAUGUCGCGAUAUGUAAAUUGUCAACGAUUGGUAAUUGUAUCAUUGAACCUCUAAAAUAACAAUUUUUAGUAAUUAUCGAGACUAUAUUUACAUACUCUUGAGACAAAUAUUAUAGUCAUUCUAAAUCACCUAUUGAGACAAAUGUUUUAGUCACUAUAAAUCACCUAUUGAGACAAAUAUUAUAGUCACUGUAAAUCACAUAUUGUGACAAAUAUGAAGUGUCAUUGAUUGCAUUUUUGAAUCUCUAAUUUGACCAUUUUGAACACUAUUUGUGACAAUUUUAACUUAAUUUUAAGACAAUGGUCUUUGUCACAAAACAUAUUUUUAACAUGACGAAAAUAAUUAUGGUCGCUAAAACCUUUUAAGACGGUCUUUCCGCGACUAACGUGUGACGAUUUAUUUAUCAUCAUAGAAAAUAUAAGGUGACUAAUAUGUUAUCUUUAGUGACUAAAUUUUUUGUAAUAAAAUAUCAUUUUUCUUGUAGUGGUCCCUCUUCCCUCACAGAUUAAACCAAUCUAUCUCAGAGUAAGUUUGCAUCAAAGGAGUAUCCUUACUAACUAAUAUAGGCUUGAUCAAUAGGGAUGACAAUAAUUUUUUUAUCUACGAACAUUAUUUUUUCAAAAUAUUAUAUCUUUAGACUUAACUAAAUAUUUUUUAACUAUAUAUGUAUAGUUUGAUUAAAUGGUGGAGAUUACAACAAAACAGAUGUGAAUUAGUAGUGAUGUUAAGUUCUAGAUCAAGACGAAAAUAAGGAAAAGGUAAGGGUGUAUUUUCAAAAUGAUUCUAUUGAAAGAUCUUUGAAAAUUACUUUCGUUAAGAGGUGGAUUCCACACUCUUGAGCCUUUGUCGUCCCAGUCAACUAUAAAGACACAUUAUUAUUGAGUGUGAACAUUCGAACUUAUAGAUCAUCAAAUUUUCAAACUUGUGAUCUUCGUUAAAUCUGCAAACCCUUUUUUUUUUAAAAAAGAAAAAGAAAACUGCAAAUAAUGAAACAAAAUUCUCUUCCUUGAUAGACUUACGCGGCUUGAACUUGCAAGUGCUGUCGGCAUUUUCAAACUUGUAAGACCCUUCAACUUGCUUUCCAAGAUAGCUAUAAUUAAUAAUGACAACCGAAGACGGCUACGUUUGCGGUACAAAAGUUGCACCAUAUCAGACGUUCUUUUUUGUUCUUAUCCGAAGGAACCGUUGGAUUCAAAGGAAAGUGAUCGGACAUUCAAUAGCUUCACACGUGGACAUUAUAGGAUACCGGUCAAAUCGGUUAGUGCUCCUCCACAUCAAACUCACAAGCAUGGCUAUCAUCGUAUCAGCUUGGAAACUUGUUACAAGUAACGAAGAGCAACAGAGUCCGCUCCUUUAGAGUCGGCAACAGAGUUUUAAUUAACGGCAUCUUCUCUCACAUUUUUUUUUAAAAAAAAUUGAAUUAUAUAACCCACCAAAACUAUAAAGAAUUGUUAGUUUUUCUUCAUUAAAAUUAAUAUAUUGCUCCUCAUAUUAAAAAAUCAAAAUUCAGAAUAAGAAUAAUUGAUACUGUUUAUUUACUAAAAUGAAAAUGAGAAUAAAAAUAAAAUAUAUGGAGCCUAUAUAUUUUUUAAAUUAAAAAAUAAGAACUUUUCAUGAGGAGUGUUGGGAAUCAAGUUCUUAUUAUUUAAACUCUCAAUUGUACCUUACCAAAAUUUCAUAAUUUCACUUUUGUUCUCAAUUAAAAUAUUAUUACAGUUAUUAUUCUUAUUUUUGUAGUUGUUGUUGUUGAUGAUGAUGAUUAUGAUGAUACAUGAUAAUAAAAUUAAUGAUAAUAAUAAUGAUAAUGAUAAUAAUAAUAAUGAUAUGAUAAUGAUGAUAAUAAUUUGAACAACAACAACAAUAAAUAAUAAUAAUAAUAAUGAAAAUAAUAACUAUAAUUUUAACAACAAUAAUAAUCAUUAAUAUUAUUAUUGUUAAAAUUAUUAUUAUUAUUAUUAUUAGAUAAUUAUUUUGAAUAAUAAUAAUCACAAGUCUAUUCUGAUUCCAGUUUAUUCCGAUUAUCGAUUAGAAAAUGUGUCAUUACUGUUUUAAUAAUAACUAAUAAUUCUCUUGACAUCAUAAUCGUAAUUCUUAUAGUAUUAUCCUUAUUUUAAAAUACACUACCAUGAGCUUGCAUCAUUUGAAAUGGUAGGUACUAGGUAGCAAUUGCUUACAUCAAAAUAUCUAGACUCACUCGGCAAAGUAUCCGAGGCCAAAACGCCAAAAGAUGGGACACCCACAUGUGCAUCUAAUUACAAAAUCCAAAGUUAAUGAAAAAGAAAAAAGAAAAAGUAUAAAUGAACGGUAUUGGCUGUAGGACAAGGGGAGGGGAAAAAGGACCAUUUUGUUUUCUUUGCUAAUUCACAAGGGGAAGGGAAAAAAAAGAAAAAGACAGUUUUGAUUAAAAAACACAGAAUAUUCAAUUCACAAGCCACCAAUGCUUGUGGACCAAUGGUCGAUAUAUGAAAGUUAGAGAUUCUGGAAAAAUGAGCAAAUAUUUUGAGUUGAUUAAUGGAUUUGUUUGUAAUGCAAUACAAGAUAGCAUUUUAAAGCUGGCAAGAAAGAAAGAAAUAAGUCAAUAAUUGAGAUAUUUAAAGAAGCUCAAGUGGUCAUGAAAUCUCUCCUUAAAAACUAUACAAGAUAAUGUUAAUGAUAAAGUUAGCCAACCAAGUCGUUCAAUCAUUGCUGGAAGCAAGCAGCCAUUGAAGUUGAUAGAAGCUAAUGCAUGAAAAAAGGUUCGUUACAUGAAGGAGAUAAUGAGAAAAUUGAUGAACACCUAUCAUCCAUGUUUUGUUUCAAUCAAAAGGUUUGAGUUUUAAGGCCGAUAUUUUGGACUGAAUCCCCCUGUCUGCUUCCAAAGGGGAGGAUGUGCAUGUAGUUGAUUGGGCCGAUGAUUAUGAUGGGUGGGAACUUUUAGCAUCUCAUGAAAGAGGAUGUGUAUGUUAUCGGUUGUAGGUACGGCAACAAAUUUUAUAUCCACAAACAAUAUUUUUCAAUAUAGUAUCUUAGGACUUAACUUAGCAUUUUUUAACCAUAUAUGUAUGGGAGCCCCUAUGUUACAUUAAAUGUACCAUACACAACUCACAAGAACCACACAAAUUGUGGGACCCACAUAAUUGUGUGGUUCUUAUCAGUUGUGUAUGGUACAUUCAAUGUAACAUAGCAAAAUCCUAUAUGUAUAGGUUGUUUGACCUCCUUUAAAUAGUGGAGAUUACAACAAAUGAACAGAUGCGGAUUAGUAGAGUUGUUGAGUUCAGAAGAUUGAAGUUAACAAAGAGUUCCUUGAUCUAGAGAAAAUUCGAAAGAGCGAAGUGUCUUCGAGAUCAAAAGACGAAAUAAGAAAAGGGUAAGGUUAUACUUUCAAAAUGAAUCUGUUGAUAGAUCUUUGAAGAUUACUUUCGUUAAGAGCUGGAUCCCACACUUGAGUCUUCGUCGUCUCAGUCAGUCAGCUAUAAAGACAAAUUAAUUUUGAGCGUGAAAGGACACAAUUCGACAGAUUUUACGCAAAUUUGUUUUGUUCUCAAAAUAGUCUGCUGCUCCCGGAUUGUCCUCAUCAUAUUGAACGAAUGAUGACGACGCUCUGUCCGUUUCUGGCUCUCUGCUUUUCACAUCACCAGACACCUCGUUUCUAACUGGGGUGCCACCAUCAUAUUUAACUGUUAUUGGUAACUCAAUAGCUAAUUCCAAUGUUUCAUCAAGCAGUUUAGAGAUAACCUCUCUCGCUGAACUCCCUGGAGUAACACAAUCCAGUUUUCUAGUGCAAUCAUCAAACAGUUGAACAGCUUCUGAAUUCCCUGGGGAUUGAUUACUAAUGAUAAAGACAACAUACGGUAGAGGACACAAAUUGUUAUUAAACAAUGGUGCACUUUUCAUUUUUCAACUGAGUACAGUAAAGCAAGAAUGGGUAAUUAGUUUUACCUGCUAAGCGAAAAUCUAGACUCCCGAAGGUAACCGAUCUUGGGUGAAGCAAAUAAAGAAGAAGGCGAAGUAAAAUUCACUGAGUUGAAUGAGCGAUCAUUGCGUAUGGACUUGAUUUGUUCAAUGGGUGAAAGACUGCUGAUAUAAUUAAAGACAGGAGAAUCCUGCAUGUUGACAAGCAUCAUUUUUAAUCAGCAUAGAGUCUUAAAAACCUAGUCAGUGGCAAAUGAUCAUGACAAGAAAUCUGAAGUAGAAACAGCAGAGCUCAACAAAUCACUAAGAGAAAAUAAGACCAAUAACCAAACAGAUGAAAGAAAAGCAAAAUAACCCAUCUCAAAUCACCACAUGCACAAUUUAAGGGGGUUGUGACAUGGGUUUAAACAUGACUUAACAAGUGCCACCAGUGAAUUCUCAGAGAUUGAAUUUUCAUACACAUGUCAAAUUUUCAAAUCCAACAAAUUGUUAUCUUUCUGAAGAUAUUAACUAUGCAUAGCAUGCUAUAAACGAAUCAUAUUAUUAGGGCCUUUGUUUGCUGUACACAGCAUAUGUACAGAGGAACAAAUCCAUGAGCUGAAAUCAUCAUAUUCCAAAAUAUUCUACCAAAUCAACACUACAAAAACCUAACGCUAAACAGAAUUGGAGCAAUUUACGAAAGCUAUUUGUCACACAAAGCACUAGUACCUCAGAACACAAUUUGCAAAAAAAGCAACAAAAAUGAAAAAUAACAAAUGCCCAGAUGAAAAAUCUGGCAACAAAAUGCUCAAAUCCAAACUACAACCGUCCACCUGCUUGUUUUGCCUUUUUUAAAAAUACACAAACACUUUUUUUUUCAGCACGCCACUUGAAGUUUACUUUUUGUUGCAUUCGUCCACUUCCGUUUAAUUUCCGUUAGUGAAUUUAACGGAAUGACCUUUUUACCCAUUAAAAUUAAAAUUUAACCCAAAAUAAAUAGAAAUUAGAGAUAAAUUGGAUGGAUUUAAUUUUUUUGAAAGGUGGAUGCUAGAAAUUGGAGGAAAAUAGUGUUUGUUUGUUACUAAAUUUAGAAAAUUUGUAUUUAUUUUUUUGGAGAAAAAUAGUGUUUAUUGCUUGCUAAAUUUAAAAAAUUUGUAUUUAUUUUUUUGUCUUUCAAAAAAUAAAUACAAAUUUUCUAAAUUUAGCAAGCAACAAACACUAUUUUCCUCCAAUUUCUAGCAUCCACCUUUGAAAAAAAUUAAAUUCAUCCAAUUUAUCUCUAAUUUCUAUUUAUUUUGGGUUAAAUUGUAAUUUUGAGGGGUAAAAAGGUCAUUUCAUUAACAUUCCGUUAAAUCCACUAACGGAAAUUAGACGGAAGUGGAUGAAUGCAACAAAAAACAAACUCAGGUGGCGCACUGAAAAAAAAAAAAAAGUGUUUGUAUAUUUUUGAAAAAGACAAAACAAACAAGUGGACGAAUGUAAAUUUCCCUAUUCCAAAAUAUUCUACCAAAUCAACACUACAAAAACCUAACGCUAAACAGAAUUGGAGCAAUUUACGAAAGCUAUUUGUCACACAAAGCACUAGUACCUCAGAACCCAAUUUGCAAAAAAGCAACAAAAAUGAAAAAUAACAAAUGCCCAGAUGAAAAAUCUGGCAAAAAAGUACUCAAAUCCAAACUACAACCCCAUAAGCUGAGUCGUUCUCUUCAAACUGAAUUAAAAAAAUUAAAAUGGGGAGAUCGACCUCAAACUUGGAAACAGAAGCGACAGCGAUCUGUUUCUUGUCUGGAGUGUCCAUUUCUAUAAUCUACUUUGUCCGUUUUCACUUUUCAGUCGCUCCACCACAAAGCCUCUUCACUCUGAAGCUGAAACUCACCACACACUUGCAAAACGAAAGCAUUUGAUUGAUUGAGAGGCGGGAAGGCGGGAAAACGAGAGAAAUUUGCUUCUUUUUUUUUUUAUUCGUUUGGUCAUACUCAUACAUGCACGGGCCCCAGCUUUACAAGCGUUAUUAUUACUAUUUGCAUUAUUUGAAGGACGCGUGUGCUAGGAUUAUACAAAGUUAUCUAAAAGUGUAAAGAGUAAAGUAUUGUUCUAAUUAAUUUUAAAAAAUAUUUUAUUAUUAACGUUUAAUGCAACAUGGCAAUUUUUUUUUCCUUGGCAACAAAGCAUUGUUCCAAAUAAUUAUUAUUGGAUCCAGAUCCUGUCCUAGGCAUUUUCUCUAUUAGUACUCCUAAACUUUUAGGGUAUGUUUGGCAUGUAGGAUUUGAUUGGACUAACUAUUAGGAUUGGACUAAAUUAGAAUGCAUUAGAUUGGAUUGGAUUAGAUUAUGUUAAAUUAAAUUUACAUGAAAUUAAAUAGUAUUUAUAUUAAUAUUUGAAUUUAAAUAUAAACUAUUUAUAGAUAUUUAAAUAAUACGGUUAUAGUAAGCACCACAGAAUACAAAGACACUUGGCAAAAGGAAGUCAAUCAAAUUCGAUGGCACAAAAUGAAACUAAUAAUGGCGAAAAUAAGAAAUUUUUCUUACUGGAGCAGUGAACCUUACCCUUCUCUGUAGUAGUCUUCUGGUGAAGUGAGUGCCAGAUCUGCAAAGCAAGAGAAAUCAGCAUCUGGAGUAUACAAAAGAUUAUCUAACCCCAGAGCUUGCCUCAAUUGCCUACAUGUUCAAAACAAGGACCUGUUAAAAAAUGGAAAUCUCUUCAAUGCAUUAGUAAAGGGAAGUGAAGUGAAGUGAAAGCUGAUUUCUUAGGCCUUUAAAGAGCAUCUUGUGUUUGAAUUCCUAUAACCUCACGAAAGAUUAGAGCAUCACCUUGACCGCUCUAGGUCUUGCAACUCAGUAACCCAACCAUUGUAUCUAAGCUGCACUGUCACAACAGGCAAUCCAACUAGCUCAUAAAUAUUGUUGAAAAAUUUAAUUUCCCUCCACGAUGAUGGAAGUAAUCGUUUAAAUCCAGGGACAUCACAUGCUGCCAUUAAAUAAGAAGUUGUAGGAAGUUGAAUAAAGGUAAAACAUUCACCUAAAUGAUUCAGGAGAACAAAAAAGCAGAAGUAGGAAUAAAUAAGGAAGAUUUAACGACAAACCAGCAACUUAUGCACCAGCUUGCAGAACCUUCUUGUCAGUGCCUGAAAUAGAACCAGAACUUCUAAAGACCAUAAGCAUUAAAUAAUAAACGCAAAGUACCUGCUUCUAAUAGAUGAUAUAAACAACUGAUUUACAAAUGUCUGGUCAUUGCAUUACCUCCAUCAGAGAGAAUAUCAAUAGACGAGUACAGAAAUAAAUAACUAAACUAGCUUUUGCCGCCUAAUUAGAGCCAUGUGAGAAACAAUUUACCUUAGACAUGGCAAGUCCUUUGACAUAUGUUUCUCCAUUAGCAGAUUUAUCAUAAAGUAUCUCUCUGCAUCCCCACCUAAGAUGGAACCUGUUCUAGCAAAAACAGACCCCGAGGUUAGGAAAAUCAGUAGGAGAAAACAAACAAGAGUAACAAAUCACCGCAAUGAUGUGAACCUCUAAAUACAAAUUCACCUGCCCUCUUUAUCUGUGAUUUAUCUUCUUAUGGGCCCACUCAAAUAAACGUCUGGAGAACCCUUGAGCAUCCGCAAUAGGGAAGCCUCAGUCUUAGUUGUAAACUGUGCGAAUAUAGUGAGCAUACAACGAGCACUGAUGUUAUCACGAUCAAUGAACCCAAGGGCAUAAGCAACAGGACCCCACAUUCUCAGAAUACUCGUCCGUGUACCACCUUUGGACAAAAACCAAUCAGAGAAGCUUAUCUGUAAGAAGAAAUGAAGUUUUAGGUAAGAUAACAAUUUGUAGGAGCAAGGAUCGAUAUUAAAACAAACUAGAAAAUAAGAUGUCAUUCUUACACUAUCCAAAUCUCGUAUGUCCUUCAAGGCUCCACCAGGAUCAACGAAUGCCUUUACAACAGGACUCAGAGCAAGAGCAAGAGCAUUUCUUGCUUUAUCAUAAGUCUGCACUUGAGCAAUACAUGAGGCAAAGUAUAUCAAAAGAGAAUCCAAAAGAGGCAAGAACUUUCAACAUGAAAGAAGAAAUACUGUCUUAUCAUACUGCUAACUAAUCAGAGUGCAAAAGAUUACAUCGACAUAAUCAAAAUGGAACAUAAAUCCAUAUGCACCACCUUAAGCUAAUUUGUAGACAAAAAUGCGUGAAUCCCAUGUAAGGGAGCUCCGACUGGAAACCGGAAAUCAAGUUCUGGAGUUAAAAAUCAAAAUCAUAAACUGUAUCAGAGAUAUUAUUGGACUAGACAAUCCAUAAACCAAUUUCAGAGUGUUCAACCACCAAACAUAACUAUCAGUAGUCUUAAGUGAUCAAGAAAUAACCAUACCACCAAUUUCAUCACGCUUAUUCACAAAUGUAUGAGUAUGAUCCUUCAUGAGUGAAUUUUUGUCCGCAUCGACCCGUAGACAUCCAUGAAAAACUAUCAGAUUAUAAACACAGGGUCGAUUUAAAGAGGAGCUAUGAUUCUGAUCCAUCAUUAUAUUUGAAGAACAUAUUCAUAUUUUCUUACGAGUAAACUAUAACCAGUUAUCAUCACUAUAGAUGGCAUGGUCAAGAGGAAUUAUAGUUCUUGUUUCAAGAAUCUCGAAUUGGCUAGUCUGCUUUUAUAAUCAUUCAAACACACGUAUCCACAACUACGCAAGCUUUACCUUUUUCAUCAAUCGGAACAGAUUAUUGUAGCAUCCAAAGAAAAUGUGCAGGCCGAUUUCAGUAUGGUUUCCAUGUUUAUCGAUAAAUGAACCCACUUUACCACCAAUGAAAGACCUUGAUUCAUCUAUAUCCACCUGGAAGAACAAGGGAAAAAAGAAAAAAUCUUCUAAUUUCUUUCACCAUCAACAAAAUCAGUAAAACACAUACUAAUUCAAAAUGAAAUAAACUUUGUGAAUUGAAAUAAUGCCUGCUCUAAAGAAAAUGAUAACUGCUAUUCAUUUUUCUGAACUGCUAAAAAAAAUAAAAGCUUCUGCUAUUUACUUCGAAAAAAUUGAGUAACUUCAAAUUUUGAGUUUAGGCAAGAGGAUGAAUGGUAAAAAUGAGACAUUUUAGGGGAAAAGAAAAUACUUGAGAGGCCAAUGAAACAUUCAAAAGAUUGAAAUCUAAAUGAGAAAAGCCUCAUGGCCUUGAUCCAACAAUUCCACUGUUGUUGACAUCCUAGCUCCAAUAAUCUGCUCCUAGCCUCAUGGCCUGGAAAUCUAAAUGAGCAAAGCCUCAUGGCCUUGAAAAAACCUUAGUUUUUUGUGUUGUGUGUGUUCACUUACUUGAUAAAAAUUAAACCUACGGUGUACCCCAGUCGCCGUGCCACCUGGCGCUAUUUUAGUGGCAUUCAUUGCUGUCAUGUCAGGAAUAUUCUUAUUUUCAUGCGUAUGGCAGGCGUUUCAAAAAUAUGAGUGGAGAGCAAGUUUGAGGCAUAUUCACGUGUUAGGCGUAGUGGAGUGGUCCCACGUACCUCUGCAAUUCCGUUGUAAUUUUGCAGGUAUGGCAGGAAAAGUUGGUGGUUCCAACUGUCAUAAUAUCAAACUUUUGGUUGAUUCGCUGGCGUGACAGGUGGCUGUCUCCUCUUUUGUAGCACAAGAUUUCCUCAUCGAUUCCUUAUUUUUUUACACGUAUUCAACCGAUCUUUUUUUGAGAUUCAGGGUCCAUCUAUCCCUUGACAUUUUUUACGAACCUUUUUCCUAACCUUUUUGUCCUUACUCGAUGUUCCCUAGGUAUUGAAUUUUGUGGGGUAGGUCGGGUACCAAGUUUUGUAGAGUAGGUUGGCUCCAUCGGGUAUCCCGAGUACCGAAUUUAUGGUGUAAGUUAGGUAUCUCGAGUAACAAGUUAUAGUGUAGACCAGGUAACCGAGCUUAUAGUGAAUGUCGGGUAUCGAGUUUAUUAUGUAGGUUGUGUAUCUUAGGUGUCGAGCUAAUAGUGUAGGUCGGGUAUCUCAGGUACCGAGUUUAUAGUGUAGCACGAGUAUCUUGGGUACCGAGCUAAUGGUGUAGGUCGGGUACCUGGGAUACCGAGUUUAUAGUGUGGGUCAGGUAUCUUGGGUACUGAGCUAAUGGUGCAGGUCGGAUACCCCCAGAGAAUAACUAAUAGUUACAUAACCUUUGUAGUUUGUAUCGACACGUAGCGCUUCAUUUUCAACACUCUGUUUAUCCACAAACAAGGGGUAUUCAAAAUUCAAUUAGAUCCGCUCAAUUCGUCCGAUCUAUAAAACUUCGAUCCAUGGAUUGGUAGAUCAAAUUGGAUUGAAAAUUUAAAAAUUCGCAGUCGAUGGAUUGGAUAUGAAUUUAUUUCUAUAAAUUCGUAAAAAUCCUUGAAUCCGUAAAAAAUAACAAGUAUUUAUUUAAAUUAAAGUAUAGCUAAAUUAACACAAUAUUAUAUCUUAUUCGAUAACAAUAUAAAAUAAAAAAAAUUAGAUAUUUAAAUAAUUAAAUAAGCAAAUAUACCUUCCAAAACAUUAAAAAUUCUAAAGCAAAACAAAAACCCUAUGCUAAACAAAACAUUUUGGCAUAUAACACCAAAUCUUUACCCCAUCGCACGCACAAGCCAUCACUGUUUCACUUCACCACUUGAGGUAAUUAAGCUUAAUUUCUUACUUUCUUUUCAAGUUCUUCAAGUUUCUUAAUUUCUUCCUAUUACAUCCAAGCUCUCAAGUUUCAAUAUUUAAAUUCAUAAUUUUAGUUAAUUUUCAUGUAUUGAUCUAAACAAAUGAAUUUUCUUUUUAGUGUGUUAUAUUUUAAAUUUUUGAAUAUAUUAUUCUAACUUUAUUUAAACAAUUAAUUUUUUUAAAUCUUGCUCAAUUUUGAAUUUAAUUGAUAGUAAGAUUAUUUUUACAUUAGAUUUUUUUAAUUUAAUAAAUUAUUUAUAUAUUAGAUUUUUUAAUUUAAUAAAUUAUUUAUAUAUUAGAUUUUUUAAUUUAAUUACUUCGUAGAUUGGACAAAAUUAAAAAAUUUUAAUUCGCAAAUGAAUCCGCUAAAUGAUGGAUUAGAUAUUGAUUGGGUUAAAUCUGCAUCCGAUCCGCAUACAUAUAGAUUGGAUUUAGAUUGAAUUUCACUAAUCUGUGGAUUGGAUUGGAUUGAAUUGAAAUUUUAUAAUCUCCCUUUCUUUUUUCGAUUAUUACACAAACGUUAGUGCUUGUGAAUUAGCACAAAAUGUUAGUGAGCACAAAAUGUCAUUAACGAUAAUGGAUGGAAUGACCAAACCAACCAACUAAAUUUUGAAAGGAGGGAAUGAUACAUAAUAGUUUAAUUUGAUUUUAUUUUAAUUGGGUGAUUAAUUAAUUUAUUAUCAAGUAAUUGUAUGUACUUAUUUAAUAGAUACCCUUAUCUUUGGACAAGGCUGAGAAAAAGGCCACGAUGGUGUGUUCACAUAUUUUUUAGGCCGACCGUUUCUAGCUUCGGCUUAAAUAAGGCUUUUGUAUUUUUGUGCCCUUUUUUUCUGAGUAUUUUCAUAUUUUGUGCUAAUUUACACCAACGAAAAUGUGUAGACACUUUUUUAGUAUGAUUUUUCCUUUUUUUUUUUUUCACUUUCAUAGUUACUGUUAAAAAAUCUGUUGAAACUCAGAACCUCCCAUGUGGACUCUAGAACGUGACAGUUUUAGAUAUCUGAGUCCAUAAUAUCAUUAGGAGUAACAAAAGGAAUAAAUUCAAUCAUAAUGAAAAAAUGUGCCAUCCUUAAGGCUUACCUAAUAUUACUAGAACCUAAAAGUGAAAGUUUUAAGAAAACAUGUGAUAAGUUUUUCUUGGAAUUUAUUCUUCUUUGUUUUAAUUUACGCGAGAGAUAGUUAAAAAGCGUAAAAUUUUAAAAUCCGUAACAAAACAAAAACUUACAUGGGUUGGGCGCACCAUGUGGUUCGUCUAAUAAUAUUUGAUACGUACAUAUUCAUUUUAAAAUUGGUGAAUCGUAGUAAAAAAUUUAUAUGUAAUAAUUGAAUGAGAUCCAUGGUUCACAAUUGCAAAUUAACGGUUGGUUGUAUAAUAAAAACCUUUAUGUACAUGGGUCCGCCUAACUUACAUUCAAUGUAAGUUACACUCAGCCCGUGUAAUUUCAUAUAGUCCCCCUAUACUCUAUACUAUUUAUAUUUUAUUCAUAAAUAUUAUAAAUUUUUUGAAAUAAAAAUUUUUAUUUAACCCCCUCUACUCAAUUUUAUUUUAUUAAAACCAUAGAGUAUGAAUUCGCCCCCAUAGUUUUAAAUUCUCAAAAUAAUCUCCAUUUAAUUAAAAAUAUAAUUAUUUUUAAAUGAAUUAUAAUUAUAAUUAUAAUUUUAUUAUAAUCAUAAAUAUUUUUUAAUAGAUUAUUGUUAUUAAAAUAAAAUUUCGUUUAGCCCCCUCUACUCAAUUUUAUUUUAUUAAAACCAUAGAGUAUGAAUUCGCCCCCAUAAUUUUAAAUUCUCAAAAUAACCUCCAUUUAAUUAAAAAUAUAAUUAUUUUUAAAUGAAUUAUAAUUAUAAUUAUAAUUUUAUUAUAAUCAUAAAUAUUUUUUUAAUAGAUUAUUGUUAUUAUUAAUAACAAGAAUAAAAAGCAUUAUAAAUUGUUAAUAAUAAUAAUAAUAAUAAUAAUAAUAAUUAAUGAUUAUCUAACUAAUAGUAAAUGUAUUGCUAAUGCUACCUUCGACUUUAAAUACUCAUUAUCGGGUUUCAAGAGAUCAAUGAAUGAUAAUUUCUGUCAGAAUUUUAAGCUUGACCCAAUAAAAAUAAUUUUGUAUUUAAAAAAUAGAAGCAAAAAAAAUGUGUUUACAUCCUCGAAUGUGUAACAACUUAGCAAAAAGCACUUAAAAAUGACCGUUUAAUAAUGAGAUGCCUACAAAAUCAUUGUUUAUCAAGGUAACAAAAAAAUUCUAAAAGUACUUGAAAUUAAAAUGUAUAGAAAUAUAAAAGAGUCUCCUACAUAAAUAUAGACUCAGUGUUUAUUCCAUUUUAUUAUAAUCAUAAAUAUGUUGAUUAUCAUUAAUUAUUAUUAUUAUUACUAACAAUUUAAUAAAAAUAUUAUUAAUUAUUGUUAAUAGAUUAAUUAAUUAUAAUAUUUUUUAUUAUCGUUAUUAAUAAUAACAAUAAUCUAUUAAAAAAUAUUUAUGAUUAUAAUAAAAUUAUAAUUAUAAUUAUAAUUCAUUUAACAAUAAUUAUAUUUUUAAUUAAAUGGAGGUUAUUUUUGAGAAUUUAAAAUUAUGGGGGCGAAUUCAUACUCUAUAGUUUUAAUAAAAUAAAAUUGAGUAUAAGGGGUUAAACGAAAUUUUACAUUUCAAACAAUUUAUAAUAUUUAUGAAUAAAAAAUAAAUAAUAUAAAGCAUAGGGGGCUAUAUAAAAUUACACAGGCUGAGCGUAACUUGCGUUGAACCUAAGUUAGGCAAACCCUUAUGUACAUACCAAAUUAGAAAACGUUAUAAGUAAAUUAAGAUUUUCAAAAUUUGACUCGUCUUACAUUACGUACAUCAAUAUAAUAUAAAUUUGUUAUAUAUAUAUAUAUAUAUAUAUAUAUAACCAAUGCUUUCAAAAACUUUAUACUUGUAUGUUUGAACAACUUUUUUUGUUUUCUAUUUAUAUACGGUAUCAUUUAUGUUUACAUAAAUUUUCAUAUGUACCCAAAUUAAGUAUUAAAUACACAGACACUUUGUUAAGACUCAUGCGUAAUUAAUCUUAAUAAUUUCUUAUACAAAUACAAUCCUUUAUCUAAGACCAGCAACGUCACUCAUCAUAAUUUUUCACCAAAUAUUGUAAAGCUGUUGUAGUAGUAUAGUUUUCAUGGACAUUGAAUUUCUAGUAUCAGACAAUGAUAUUAUAUUGAAUGUAAUGCUUCAAUGAAUUUUAUUACUAUAUACUAAAAUGCUCAACGAUCUUCAUUAAAAAAAAAAAAAAAUUGCAUGAUUAGAAUGAUUAAAGAAUAAUAAUAAUAAUAAUAGACCUUUGUUAAUAGUUACUACAAGUGGUCACUGCCUUGUCCAUCUUCCUUCUCUGUAUCAUCGUCCUCUUCCAAGCCGCUGUCAUCUGACCAAAAACUCGCCUACUUGUUUUAGGAGCAGGAGCAGGAGGAGGAAAUUGAGUUAGGGAUUUGGAGUGAGAGUGAAGGUGGAGAAACGCAAGAGAGGGAAAAAGCUGAUUGUUGAGAAAUAUAUAUACCUUUUGUAUGGUUGUGUUAAGGUCGCCCUUCCAAGCCCAACAUGCUUCACCCCGCCAACGUGCUUUACUCCGCCCCUUCACUUUGUGUAAUUUGGGUGUACUUAAUUUUCCUUCAGAGAAAAUCUUCAUAUCGGGGCAAUCAUCCACCACUAAUCUUUCUAAAGAUGGGAACUUGAAAGCACAAUUGCCAGAGCAGAAGCUUGUCAGGCGUUCUAAGUCUACAAGCUUCAACUCCUUCAAUUCUCUGAAAGUAAUAACCUCAUCUUUUGCUACAACAUCAUCCCCCUGUACUAUUUCUGUUAUCCUAUCGCAUGAUUUUAUCUUCAUAUAUCUAAGUCGCACCAGAGUCUUUGCAAUUAAGGAUGUUAAUACGAUUUUCAAGUUGUUGCAACGCGAUACCACCAUAUUUGUAAGAUUCUGAAAGGAUGUCGACGGUGGCACUAGAUUGACUAAAUGGUCACACCCCUUUACACGUAGAAUAACCCAGUUGUUCGUAACAGAGGACUCCCUUAUCAAAAUGUGCUCCAGAUGAAAUGCUUCUCUUAUUUCUACCCACAUCCCAUUUUCAACCUUCUCAUACGGCAACGAGGCACUAUAUCCUCCUAUUUGGAGGACUUUCAUUGUGUGAAGUCUCUGGAGGAAGUCACCAAGUGAUAAAAUAGUCCGCUCAUCACCCAAGUGAUAUUUAUUUGUCACUACGUGCUUUGCAUCAACUUUCAACUUUUCCAAAUUAGGGAAUACCUGGGAGAUCGAUCACAACCCCAAAAAAAAGAAAAAAAAGAAAUACAAGAUGAAUCAAUUGAUAAGAAAUAUAAGUUGCCACUAAUUUAUACAAUAUAUUUUAUUCAAUAAAUCUUAACCUUUAAAAAAAAUAGUAAUAAUAGUAUGCCUAACAUCUAGAAUAAUUAUGAAUGAAUACUAUACACUAAUCCGUAAGAGAGUUACGUUGCUGACAAUUUGAGUUUUAGUAAGAAACCAAGCGAUGAAGGCAAAGGCAAUAUAACUCUAAACUCUAUGAUAUAAACUCUCACAGUACAUACAUAAGAAUUGAAAAAUUGAUUAUAAAAUUCUUGUACGUACCCUUUCCGUGAAGAUACUAGUAGUUCUCACCAUGAAUUCAGGACAUUUAGAUAUCCGUAAUUCUUUCAAGGAUGGAAAUUCAAGAAUAUCAAGAUCUCCAGUGCAGAAGCUUGUGAACUUUUCAAGAUCAGACAUCUUCAGAUAUUGCAACUGAGGAAACAUUACAACAUUUUUCUUCCUUUCUUCUUGGUUGUCCAUAACUAUUAACUCUUCCAAGACAGGACAUCCGACUAUCUCAAUGCAUUGGAGUUGAACAAAGCUACUAACGGUAGAAGAUGAAAAUAGACAUCUUAAAUUCAUACAGCAGGACAGGGUCAAGCGCGUUAAAUUCUGAAUACCACAAGACAUGACUGCAACUUGGUUUUGCCAAAUCCUUUCAACAUUUAUUGAAAGCAAAUGCAACUUCUCUAACUCUGGUAACCGAACCUGCUCGAUCAAAAAAUUAACUCGUUAAUUACAAGCAACAAUGAUUUCUGUUGAUGGACAAAUCAAUAAAAUUACUCUUUCUCUGGUUAUAGUUCUUUUCAGUUUUUCAUACAAACAACCGUUAAUCAAGUUUUCCAAAUUAUUCCUUACUAAAUGUAUAGAUUUAGACGGCGGCUAAUAUAAUUCAUAUUGCAAAUAUUCUUUGAUUGUAACGAAUUUUGUAAUAUUAAAUUUUGGUUGAUUCGCAAUAGCACCUACUAUCCAGCGCGAGCAGUUCCUUGGGAUUUAACUACUGGCACCUCGAUUAUAUAAAAAUUUGGAAUAUUUUCAAAGGAAAUCACAUAAUUUCCCCUUGCAAAUAGUAAUUAUCAUUAAUUGCCGCGGGUUGACAUAUAAUUCUAAGAAAUUAGGCGAGAAGAGUCUCAUCAACAAUCAAUCAGCAGAUAUCACGUUUGGCAGAUCAUCAUGAUUUCCUCAGAUGCUAGAGAAUCAACGUGAUUUCCGCUCAUGCAGGAGCAGGAGUGGACACAUUAUCUUAGAGCAUCCCUCACUGAGAUCUUUUAAAAAAUUUAUAUUAUAAAGUGAACAACAUAUUAAGUAUAGAUUUAGACGGCGGCUAAUAUAAUUUAUAUGUAUUCUAAUGAAGUAUAUUAAAGAAAAUGACUAACCAUAAUUUCAAUCUACUUAUUAGUCUAUAUAUAUAUAUAUAUAUAUAAUAUUCAGUGAUUACAACAUAUUUAGUAUUCCAUAACAUGAUGUUUAUAAUAAUAAUUAUUGUGUCGAGUACCUUUUCUUUCUCUAAGAAUGUAUUUGUUACACCCUACUAUACUUCGGAUGAAAAUUUAGAAUAAUUAUGAAAUAUGAUUAUUAAUCACUCUUUGCCAUAUUUGCUACCAAACAAGAAUGCAACAAAGAAAAAAAAAACAAAAAUUAUAGAGAAUUAAUAAGACCAUUGACUUAUCAAUAACUGACCUUCUCAGCGAAAAGUGUAUUAGAAAUUUGGACAUUGUCCUCCAAAAUGAUUUCAUGUGACUGCAAAUCAUUAGCUGAUUCCUCCUGUCUCUGCUAACAUUGCAGGUGCAUUGAUUUUAGAGUGUAAGCUUAAUUGUGAGCACAACCUUAAUGCAUAGAUACAAGAUCUUUAAAAAUUAGUACAAUAAACUUAGCACUAAAUUAAAUUUGAUAUUUUUGAAUUCCAUGAUUAAGAUUUUUUUUUUAAAUGAAAAUUUAAUAGAGUUAAUUUAAAAAUAAAAAUUAAAUAUGAAAAAUUAGACUUGCAAUUAUGGAUUUAAUUUUGAUAAAUAAUGAAUGUUCUCUUAAUAUUUUUUUUAAAAGAUAAAAGAGCGUACAAAGCCCAAAUUCAUUUUUUUAGUCCCUUACUCUCCCAUGAUUCAAACUUGGGUGGUUGUAGGAGGACUGAAAAUAUAUAAGACAGUUAACUUUACUUUUUUUUUUUUCUUUUUUCUUUUUUGUUGAGAGAAAAGAGAAGAAGGAUAUUACAAAGCAUGAAGCUCGUGCAACACAAGGGCAAUUAUGGUUUUUUCCUUAAAUUAAAAUGGUAAGAUUCUGAAGCUAAAAGAUUAAAAUAUUAAUUAAAUUGCAAACAUUAAAGAUUUUUUUUUUCAAAUUGGUUGCUUUGACAAUGAGAAUAAUAUAAUAUUUGAAGACUUUUCAAAAUUAAUUACUGUGAUGCACUAGAAAUUUCUAGCUUUAGUCUAAUGUAUAAAUUGACAAAACGAUAUUAGAAUCCCAGGUGAAAAGAACCCUCUCAUACCAUUUUCUUAAAUUAGGAAUGAUCAUACCUCUGACUCUGCCGAACUGAGGGCGGGGUCUAAACCCAUCAUAAAGAGACGCUUGAGAUGGGAAGAGCCCACUUUGGCUAAUUCAUUACGAAAAUAAUCGACAUCUUGCUCUUGCAAUCCACUUAACUCAAGGUUUUCAAUUCUCUGCAGUUGCACGAUCAGCGAAUCCUUCAAGCGAAUCUUUUCAUAUAGCUCGAGACUGAAUUCACGACACCAAAUGCCGGUGCUCUCCCGACGGUCAUAAUCUGCAAUGCAUAUUUGGUACCUUUCCAGCUUCUCCAAGACCAGGCCUCUGGGCAGACUGCUGACGUCACGGACGUGUAAUUCCAAAGAGGUCAAGUUGGGCAAAUGCUUCAAUUCCUCAAGGCUUGCAUUCUUAACCCCUUCCACCUCCACCUCCCAAUCGGCAAAGUCAAAGAGUUCACUAGCUAUAUAUAGUUCUUCUAAAUGUGAUAAUUUUGACAGUAUAUUUGGUGGAAUAACUUGUAGUGCUGAACAAUCUCUCAAAUCAAGCAACUUUAGACAAGUCAAUUCACCUACUUCUACCGGCAACUUCUUAAUAUAAGAACCUCUUAAGCAAAGGAUUUCUAGUUUCUUCAAGCCUCCUACAACACUUAUAUCAGGCAAGCAGCAGCGACACAAACUCAGUGUUCGAAGGUUUGACAGGAGACCAAGUGAUGGAGGCAGUGACCGUAUGUAAGUCAAGUUUACAACUCUGACCUCGAUCAUCCUCUCGAAAAAGUUGUUUGGAAUUGUUAAUGGUAAAAAUACACCUCUAGCAGCACGUAGAAAAAGAAGUUCGAGUUGAGGACAUUCCAGUACUUCAGGAAGCAAAUUAGUCUUGAUAUCAUGUAAGACGAUUGAAGUGCAAUGCUUUAUUGCACUUCCGUCUGACCAUUCCCUGCAACCAUCAACCUGCUCAUUUGUAGCAGUAAACACAUUUCGUUCAGUAGAUGCAAUUGAUAUGGCGACAUCGCGAACUACAUCAUGCAUAGAAAACAACUCUUUCUUCUGGCUUAUAUGGUCAAGCAACAUACAAGAAGCUUUGAGUGUGCGCACCAAUGAAUGUACUCGAUUUCGUGCUGCUUCAAUCUUAUUCACACCUUGAAAUAAACCCAAUCCCAUACCACACAUUAACAAGUCAUCAAUAGAUGCUAUGGCUGUAUAUCCUAUUAGCAAAAAGAUGUUCUUGAGAUCAUCCCUUCCUAGUUUAUUGUAGCUCAACUCGAUAGCUUUAAAUGCGGCUGGCUGUACAUCCUUAAAAUUCAAUGAAGAAGGCCUUCUUAGCUGUUCCAAUGCAUCCUUCCAUUCACGUAUGCUCUUGCUCCUUAAUGCCCUUGCAACCGUCACAAUGGAAACUGGCAGACCUGCACAUUCCUUUGCCACAUCCCUUGCUACCUCUUUCAAUUCAUUAUCUUCAACAUAAUCACCUGCCAUCUUCGUGAAUAGACUCCAAGCUUCAUCUUCUUUUAAAAAUCCAACUGGGAAAUUUUUUCGAGACUCCAUCUCUCCAGACAAUACUUCUUCACUCCUUGCCGUGAACAGAACUUUACAUCCCAUGUGAUCAUCUCCGUGAGGAAUUCCGACAUCCAACAAAUCAAGAUUUUCCCAAAUAUUAUCCAAGAUUACAAGGAUCCUCUUCUCUUUCUUCAGUCGAUCAUAGAGUCUUCUUGCCCUACCCGAUUCACUCUCCUCAUCAAAUUUUAGACCUAGUUUAUCCGCCAUUUCUCCUUGAAUCUUUCUUACGUCUCGACUCUCAGACACCUCAGAAAAAACCACCUGAUCGAAAAGCUUGUCACACUCUGCUUUUCUAGCAACUUCUUUAGCUAGCGUCGUCUUUCCGAUUCCGCCCAUUCCAUAAAUCAAAAGCAUGUUGACAUUGGGAUUUUUUAAUGCAUCAAUUAUUUCAUUCAGAAUGGACGUUCUUGAUUCAAAGGCCUCGAAGUCUUUGUUAGGCAUAAGCAAGGUAUCCUCCGGAAUGAUGCUGUAGGAAAUACUAUUAACUGGUCUAGCGUCCAGGACUUUGACAACAGCCUCCUUCUGCCUCUCUGCUUCCUUGCUAAGUCGAGGGCGGGUCUUCAAAUUAGGACAUAACCCCUUGAAACAACGCUUAUUUGCAGUGGCUUCAUCUUCUGUAAAUUUAUCUGCCUCUUCAAUGACACUGUUGGCCGCUGCAAGCCAAUUCUCAACGUUCUCUUCAAUCUCUUCUCCUUUUCUUUUAGCCUCAUCAACCUGGUGCUCUGUAUUCACCCUCUCAGACUUUAGUUUCACAACUUCAGUGUUGAGAUUCUGUAAGUUGCUCGUGUACUUACUCUCACGCAAAUAUCUAAUUUGGCGAUAUGCGGGAGGAGCCAAGCACUUUGCAACUUCUAAAACAAUAGUAAGAAUGAUUUCAGCCAUCUUCAGUCCUUUGUCCUUGUCUCUCUAUCUCUCUUUUUCUGAAUUUUGGAAAAACAAUUCAACAAGUGACCACAACAAGAUGGAACAAAAUAAAAAGGAAAAAAAUACAAAGAGUGGAUGGAGAAUAAAACAGAGACAGCGGCACAGCUAGACACAACUGGAUAGAGAACAGAGGAAAACCAAAUAACAAGACUUAAGAUUACAACAAACAGAGGCCAAGUAUUGUUGAGAUCAGAAGAUGGAAAAUUCAAAAGAGUUGAUGGCAGAUGCUGAAUAACAGAACAACAAUGAACACAAUAAACAGAAG